UCUUAUGAAUAUGAUCGGCUAACGUGCCCCCUGCCAUAAAUUCAUAAACAAGAAUCAUCUCAUAACCUUCAUCACAGUAACCAAUCAAGGACACUAGAUGGCUGUGCCGAACUUUUGAGAGCAUCUCAAUCUCUGCCCGGAAUUCUGUGGAUCCUUGACUCGACAUGGAUUUCAACCGUUUUAUGGCAACUAAAGUUGCUCCCAGAGUUCCUUUGUAAACAUUUCCAAACCCGCCUUUUCCGAUCACUAAAUCGUCGUGGAAGUUAGAUGUCGCCCGCUUCAUCUCAUUAAAGGAGAAACGGUAACAUGAUUGUCGAGUAGACAAUGAUUGAAGCCAGUUAUUUUGCUCCACGACUUCUGCUUCUUGAAGUUUUUGGAGCAUAUAAACCACGAUAUUCAAGAUGGUAAUAAGAAUAAUUGCUAAAUUUACAAUGAUGUUUGUAUUAGCAUGCAGAUCGCGUUGACACUUGCCAAGUUAAGAUCCAGCAAACAUGAAUACGUUAUGUAACUUGUAACAAUAUUUGUUCAUUUUAGGGGGAAAAAGUUUAAUAAUCCGUUAAAUGUUGGCAUGUUGAACUGAGUGAAAUUUGGGAGAGAAAUAAAGGUUGAAGUCGUAGAUGCAGUAUGAACCCAUUCCUUGACUUUCAAAUGCAGAGCUGAUAUAUUCCUUGAAUUCUUCAUCGUAGAGCUGUCUGAGAUAUCAUGCCCAAUGACUUAGCGAGAGCAGACAAGAACCCUGAGAUAAACUCACAAGUUUUCUCCGUUAAAUUCAAACAUAUAAAUAUAGUUUUUUUUUUUUUUUGCGACAAUAUAAAUAUAGAGUUUACUUCUUUGUAUGAUUUUGUUUGUCUUAUCUUUUUUGUUUGUCUUAUCUUAUUUUUCAAAUUUAAAUUAUUUACUUUAAAAAAUAUAUAAAAAUAUAUACUUCCUCCGUCCCUGUCAUUUCUUUACAGUUUUUUUCACCGCUCGACACGCAUUUUAAGGCUCUUAUAAAAUAUAGUCCCGUAACUUAUUUUUCAAAUUUUCUUUUUGUGUAUAAAAAUUCAAAUUUUUAUUAGAAAAAACGAAUUAAGAAAUAUGUUACGGGGAACUAUGUUUUCUAUUAUUAUUAAAAUACGUGCCGAACUCUCGUCCCCCCACCUAAACUACCUAGGGGCAGAGCAGGGGCGGACCCAUAGCCUUGGCUAUGGGUUCCCGGGCACCCACUCAACUUCCCACCGAAGUGUAAUUAUAAGGUAAAUUUCGGUUAAAAAUUAAUUUAAAAUUUAGCAGGAACCCACUAAAAUAUUUACCAAACUCAUUAUUUACCUCAAUAAUUUAGAGAUCUUAUUAACUAUUGGGCGAUUGGUGUUCGGAAUAAUUUAAAAUGUUGUAUUUAUUAAGAUAUUUGUCUAAAUAUAUACUUUUUAGUUUCCGGUGUUCUUUAAAUUAACAUUUAAUAUUAAUAUCAAAAAUUUAAAUAUUGAUAUCUAAAUAAAUAUUUAUUAUUUAUAUUACUAAAGUAAAAUAAGGAACCCAGUGAGAAAAAUUUCUGGGUCCGCCACUGGGGCAGAGGGAGUAUUACUUUGGUAUUCACCCAAAUACACUAGAUAAUCACAUAUUCUCCUGGUAUAGACCUCGUCACAGCAUUGUGCUGGAGUUACUCUGACCGUAAGGAAGUAGGUAAGGAUACCAGCUAGUGGAGUUUUUACUCUAUAAACAACAGCAACGAAAAAACAUACAUAUAUUCACCGACUCUAAAAGUCUAAGUCAUACAAUGAAAACAAGACAAACGCAUUUGACAUUUGGAUCAGAUAACCUGGAUUACUGGCCCUUAAUAUAUAUUUUAAUAUUCUAAUACAGAUUAAGAGAUAGUUGUUGGCUUCCUCUAAUCUCAACACUUAUUCAACUCAAAUUUUCCCCGAUGAUUCACAUAUAUUAAUCUACAUAUAUAUCACUUAUGUGAAGAUCAUUAAGAUCAUUAAGCCUAUAAAUACAAGGCUUUAGUUAACUAAUACAAAACAAAUUAAAGAUGGGAAGAUCAAUAGCAAUCUCUCUAGUUGUAGUACUAGUGUGUCUCAUCUUAGCAUCAGAAACAGCAGCAAAGAAACGAAAAUCUCCCCCACCACCUAAACAAUCUCCAACGCUUUAUCACUCCCCUCCUCCACCAAGAGCUGUGGAAUAUCCUCCGCCACCACCUCCUAUUUAUUCUCCCCCACCUCCACCUCCUCCACCUCCUCCUCCUCCUCCUCCUCCUCCCAUGCACUCAUUGCCACCACCAUUUCAUUAUCACUCACCGCGCCAUCCGGUUCAUGCCCCACCACCACCUAAGCACCAUUCUCAUCACUACAAGUACAAGUCUCCGCCACCACCUGCACAUUAUCCCGCACCAAAAUAUCACUACAAGUACAAGUCUCCGCCACCACCACCACCAGCCACGCAUCAUUAUUACUUUAAUUCACCUCCCCCUCACCACUACUAAGAUGAAGUGUCCUCAUUGCCGAACAAGAUGAGGUAAUAUUAAUGGCGUACGUGCAUGAUGUUUUCGAUAUAUCUAUGGGAUCAAUAUAUGAUGAUGUAAGGCAUCUAAUUUUCAUUUUAUGUAUCAAUAAUUUGUUCACAAUCAAUAAAAUUUUGUUAUGUGUUCAGCGUGAUCAGAUACUAAUUAAUAUUUCAUGUUUGAUCUCACGAGGAGUGUGAUAUAAAAUUCAUGGUUUAAUUACUGUAUGUACCAUUUUAGACUUUUUAGUAGAGCACCCUCUCUCGUAUAUAUUGUUACUCAGUACUCCCAUUUUAUAUGACUUUUACUCUUUUUUGGGACGUCCACAUACUUACUAUUUUUGAACACUACUUUCUACUAUUACACUAACUACUUUCUUCCACUAUCUCCAUUAUAUAAUAAUAUAAACACUAUUACACCCACUACUUUCCUCCACUAUCUCAAAUCUAUUAUUAAAUAUUGAUAGGUUCUCCCAUUUUUCAACUAAACUUACUACUCCCUCUGUCCCCUCAUUUGUUUACAUUGGGGGACGGGGGCUCGUCACGCAUUAUAAUGCUCUCGUAAAACGUAGUUCGAUAAAUUAUUUCGAACUUUUUUUUGUUCUGAAUAAAAAUUUGAUGUUUAUAUUUUUAUACAAAAAAGAAAAAAAUUAAAAAUAAGCCUUAAAAUGCGUGUCGAGCAGUGUGAAAAAACUGUAAACAAAUGAGGGGACAGAGAGAGUAUCUUUUUCUUAAUCUUCGUGAAAGUCAAACCAGCUCAUUUAUUAUAGGACGGAGAGAGUACGUAGUUAGUACAUGCAUAUUCAACAGGUUAAAGUCAAGGUGUUGCUCGCUCCUCCAAAGAAAAAAUGUAAAAUGUUCGCAUCAUAUUUGUCUCUGGAUAACUGAGAUGCGGCCACUUUUUUUUACGGAAAAUGUUUCGUGCACGUAAUUGUGUUCAAAAUUUUGUAUAUAAUAAUAUGUGGCAGGUUUUAAUUGUAAUGUGUCAUUUUAUUCACAUCAACAACCCCAAUUAAAAUAUUUUACAUCAAUUGUCAUCAUGUACAAAAAUUUUGUACACAAUAACAAAAAUGUACAAAUAUAUACUUAAUUUUGAAAAAUAUAUUUUUUUGCUUAUAUCUUCUAAUUUUUUUAUUUUGCUAAAUUUCUUAUAUCUUUUUAUUUACUGUUAGUUCAAUAAUAAAUCAAUAAACAUCAACCUCUUGCUGCACCUAACACUCAUUUUAAAGUACCAGUUCUACUGUUGCAUUUUGUUAAUCGAGUCCUCUCACGUCUCAUGAUCAUGAGGCUGGAUGCUUUUUAUUUAAAUUAUAAACAUCUGGAAUCGAUUUAACCAUUGUUUUAUAUUGUCUGUGUUAUUUUGAACUAAGAUCCAAUUUUCUAGAUAACAGGUCAUCAGUUUGGAAAAUGCCCUAGUCAGUCUUUAUUAGUGAUAUUCUACGCGCAUAGGCUUUUCUGAAGAAUAUAAAUUAUAACCAGGUGGGCGGAGGGCGGAUACACAUCUAUAUAUGUUUCCAAUUGGUCUGAGAUUAUGUUGGUAACUACAGAAUAAGGCUUGGUCUCCAUCCAUAGAUACGUUCCUAUUUUUCAUAGCUGACGUACCAAGUCAUAAAUACUUGUCUUAUUUCUAUUUUCAAACACAAUAUACAUGUAAAUCAAUUUAUUAAUUCAAUGCAUUUGUUAGAAGUACAAGGGAAACUAAUUAUUCAACUAUUUUUUUCUCAAGAUGGGUAAUUUUUUCAAAAGGACCUGUAAAAGUUGACGAAGAGAGUAUGUUUCAAGUUUAAUUUUAUCUCAUUCAAAUAAAAUUCAUUUAUAUAUAUUCAUAUUUUUCUUCAAAUAAAAAAUCUUGUAAUUAGUUAGAGCCUCUUUUAAAUCAUAAACUUUACGAGAUCUUAAAUGAUUAGUGAUUUAUAUAUGUUUAAGUUAGAUGAUGUACCAGUAAUAGUUAAGUAAAUUAGACGUUUAUUUUACAGUAUUAUUUAUCAUUAUAGUGCUAUUAGUAUAUUAAAUUAAUUUUCUGAUAUCGGGUUUCGGAUUUUGAGUUUCAGAUAGAGGUUUUCGAGUAUUUCAGAUAUCCAAUCCAAAAAAUUUGGGUUUCGAAUGUACCCGAAUUCGAUUCGAAAUCCGUUGGAUCAGAUUCGGGUAUUAAUUUUCGAAUAUUUUUCAGGUUUGGAUCGGAUUCUGCAAUGGAUAAAAAAUUCAGGUUUAAAUAUGAAUUAUGUCAUACCCGACCCGAUUGACAUCUCUGAUAAUUCAUACUACAUAAUCGCCUACUUAGUUUUAACGGAUUUGUACCUUGUUCUGGUGGUGGCAUGAUCUCGGCUAUAUGUGAUAUAUUGAUAUUGCCGACAUAAUCCGGACGCACUCGAAGAGCAUGAGGAUUCUUGUUUUUCUUACAACAUGGGCGUGAAAUCAAUCCGUAAGCAGGUGUAACUGUGAUAUUUUCUAUUAGUAUAUAAGAUUUUCUGAUUUAAUAAAAAAAUUCUAAGUUAAAUACCACAUUGGCGUGAAAUCAAUCCGUAGAGAUAAAACCUGCACCAUCUGCAUUGAUUUAAAACAUAUAAACAUCAAUAUUUUUUUGAAUAUUUUUUUAACAUUAUAUCUAACUAGUGAAUAAAGCCGCGCUUCGCGGCGGCGUUAUGAAUUUUUUAUAAAUUUUGAUAGGAAUUAAUAUUAUAAUUGCAUAAAAGUUAUUUUGAGUCAUGUUCCUGUUAAACAUAUCAUUAAUAAAAAAUAUUAUAAUUAAUAUAAAAAUUUGUUUAAGUGGUCCUCAUGUCAAACACAAUACUAAUAAAAAAAAUUGUUUGACCCGCCCUCCCAUCAAAGACAUGAUGAAGUUAAAGAUUAUAUUUGGAUAAAAAUUAUUUUAAGCUGUGGUCACGUUUUAAUAAAAAAAUACAUUAUAUCAUAGAUAAAAAUUUGUUUUAACCGCUUUCCCGUCAAACAUAAUACUAAUAGAAAAUUUAUUAUUAUUUAGAUAAAAAUUAAUUUGGGCCGCCCUCCCCUCAAACACAAUACUAAUCAAGAAUUUUUUUUAGAAAUUUUGAUACGAAAUAAUAUUAAACUUACAUAAAAUUUAUUUUAAGUCAUGUUCCUAUUAAACAUAUCAAUAAGAAAAAAUAUUAUAAUUAAUAUAAAAAUUUGUUUAAGUGGCCCUCAUGUCAAACACAAUACUAAUAAAAAAAAUGGUUUGACCCGCCCUCCCAUCAAAGACAAUAUUAAUCAAUAAUUAUGAUAAAAUUAAAUAUAAUAAUAUAGAUAAAAAUUAGUUUGAGCUACUCUUUUGUCAAGCACAAUACUAAUAACAAAAUAUUAUAAUAUAGACAUUAGUUUGAGUGGCCCUACUGUCGAACACAAUACUAAUAAAAAAUAUUAUAAUUAUGAUAAAGUUAAAGAUUAUAUUCGGAUAAAAAUUAUUUUAAGCCGUGGUACCAUUUUAAUAAAAAAUACAUUAUAAUAGAUAAAUAUUGUUUUAGCCGUUUUACCGUCAAACAUUAAUACUAAUAGAAAAUUUAUUAUUAUUUAGAUAAAAAUUAAUUUGGGCCGCCCUCCCCUCAAGCACAAUACUAAUUAAGAAUCAUUUACAUUAUGAUAAAAUUAUAAUUAUAAAUGGAUAAACAUAUCCAAUUUUAUAGAUUUUAGCUAUUAUAUUUUUCUUUAAGAUUCAGAUUUUUUAAUUGUUUAAAAUUAUCUCUCUUUUCUUUUAGGAUUCCUAUUUCUUAAUUACUUAGAAUUUUCAUAGAUUUUAGCUAUUAUAUUUUUGUUAAAAUUCCUAUUUCUUAUCUACUUAGAAUUAUAUCGCUCUUACGAUUACUAUUUUUUAGCUACCUUACCUAUUUUCUCACAAAAAAUUAGAAAAAUUAAACAGAAUUCCCGCGUAUCUUCUCAAGAAUCAUUUAAAUUAUGAUAAAAUUGUAAUUAUAAUUGGAUAAAUAUAUCCAUUUUUAAUAGAUUUUAUUUUUUAAUUUUUUUGAAUUAUCUCUCUUUACUUAUAAUCUUUACUUAUAAGAUUCCUAUUUGUUAACUACCUAGAAUUUUACAGAAUUUCACAAAUUUAGGAGGCGCUUUUCUCAUCUUUCUUUAUAUUCUUUACAAUAAAUUCACCAAAAUAAUAAUAUAAAAAAGACCGAACCUGACAUGAACGUAUUCUUUUAAUUGCAAAAAGAAAACAUGUUAAAGAACUCAAGACAUGGUUUGAACUUUGAUGAUGAAUGAAAUCACAACCACCCCAUGAUUUGAGAUUAAUUAUUGGCAAUAGUGGCCGCAAGCCGUUUGAUCAACAGGCAAAUCUAAGGUGUAAUUUCUUUUUCUUUAAAAGCAGCACCUUGAUAACCUUUUGGCCAGCCGGCGAGGGGUUAUGAAAAAUCAUGGGUACUAAUUACUAUAGCCUCGAACGGCUACAUAAAUAAACAUAACAGAACAUAUAAUGGCCGUUUGGAUGAGUUUAAAAUAAGUGCUUCUUGCUUAAAAUAAAAAAGUGGAGCAGAAGUUAGAAGCAAAUUAAGACUUAUAAGUGAUUAAAGUGUUUGAGAAAGAAGUAGAAGUCCUGAAACAAAAGUUAGCAUUCCUAGCUUAUUAUAAGUGCUUCUUGACUUAUUAUACAAACGGUACGAAUAAGUGCUCCUAACUUAUAAUCCAAGAAGCUGGACUUAUAAGUGUUACACAAACACCCACAUAAACGCAAACACACUAAGCUGUUGACAUCAGAUUCAGUUUAGUAGGAUUCAUGCGGUGUCAAAAUCAGGAAUUUGUAGAAAUUUUGGAAAAGACGGUGCGCCAAAACAAUCAAAGAUAAAACUAAAAGAAAAAUCACAUGGACUUAAAACAUCUUGAAAUUUCUGUUAGGUAAUCCAUAGNCCAAUAAGUUUCUGAAUAAAUCUCUUCCGAUGAGUUUCCGGAUAAAUUUAAGAAAAUUAUAAGACUAAAUUGAAAAUAAGAAUUGUAUUACUUUAUAAAUCUCAAAUAUAAAUUGUAUUUCUCUUAGGAUUUCUAAAUAAGAAAAGAAUUGUAUUAUCUUUAGAAUCCAAUAAGAAAAAGAAUCAUAUUAUCUUUAGAAUUGUACUAAACUUGAAUUUUUUUGAAUUAUAAUUAUAUUUUUCAUCCGAAAUUUAAGAAAAAUUAGAAGACUGAAUCGAACGAUUCUAGAGACACCCGCAUCCUCCUUUAUAUAUAUAUAUGAUUAGUCCGCCAAUUUGAAUAAAUAAUAUAAGUUAGCUCGUUGAAUUGUUUAUGUUAGAAUCAAUUAUACAAUCAUAUUUUAUAUAUUAAUUUUUUUUACUUAAAUUAGUUCAAUUUCAAAAUUUGAUUUUCAUUUAUUCGAUUUUUUUGUAUACAGUAGUUUGACUGAUUCCGUUAAAUAUUAUGUCCACUAUAUCUUUGUUUACCGUAUAAAUCAUUCAGUAAUAAACAAGUCAUGUCCAACUUUAUUAGAAUGUUCAAUACCAAAUGAUAACAUAGAAAACAAAAUUUUAAUAUUCAAACUAUGCAAUUUUUUACCGUUGCACAAUAUUUUUUUACCGUUUUGCAACAUUAACUAAAAUAUUAGUAGGGUUACGUUUUUCCUUAAAUCUGGUACUCUACUCUAGUCAGAAAACUAUUGCAGCAAUAGUUGGCAUAUUAGAAGUUAAUAGAAAAAGUCCAGAGGUGUAGUCCUCUGGAUGAUCAACUAAGGAACCCUUGACAGAUGAAGUUAGGAAGCUCUUGGAUGUUGAGUUCACCUGCCACAAAUGUAUGAGCUAUAUCGAGGGACAGAUAACAAUACUCAAGAAGGUCAAUUCUUUCGUAUUUACUCCAGCUAGAGUGUUUCAGGUACUCUCUAGCAAUGAACUCUGCGUGCUUGCCGUCUAUGCUCUGCCAAAUGUCCUCCAGAUCACCGUAAAUUGGAAAGCUCUUAAUCAUCUGAAUUUAUUAAAUGAGGAAUUUCAUUUAAUCAAUUCAAACUGCUUAUGUGUUAAAGAAAUUGACUGCACCUGAACCUUAGCCGUGCCUAAGUAAGUAAUGAAUAUUAGGGCGAUCCCUUGAACUGGCCACCUGAAUCCUCGCUAUCAGCCUGUGUUCUGUACAAGGAACUCAGAUUAAAAUCCAUUUAUCAUCAUUCAAUUAUAUAUUUUAUUGCUUAGAUUGUCAAUUUAGAACUGAGAAUUUAUAUAGCAUUUUAUGUUACUAAUACUCAUUUGUGCAUCCCCUAACCUCUCUUGAAUCUUACCUCAGUAUCUUCACUCUCUUACUCACCUCACCUGAUUCUCGCUCAACUCUCAACUCUCAUCUCACUUUCUCCACUCUCUCUCUCAUUAAAAGUGCAUUUGAACCGUAAGUAGGGUUAAUCGCCUCAAUUGGGUUCAAUCCUCGCUCUCUUUUGCUCUGGCUAAUUAAAGUAGCUAAUCGAAGCAGGGAAUUCAUGGAUCUUAAUGGAUUUUACGGGUCUUCAUGAAUUUCUUAUAAUUGAUACAAUUACAUCGACUUUUUCAUGGAUUUUGUACUAAUCAGGACUACAAUCUUCAUUUUCCAGGAGAUUAGGGCUCUCUCUCGAGGCUUGAAGUCGGGGCUUUUACUUUGAGAUUUGAGUUAGGACUUUCAAUUAAGGUAAAUCCAUAUUUAAUUAUGGUAUAAAUUUGGGUUUUGUAUUCUAUAUGUGAUGCCAUAAAUAUGGGUUUUGUAUUCUAUAUGUGAUGUUUUAAUUUACAUGUUUUAAUCAAGGUAAAUCGAAUCCUUAUGGUGUAACUUUGGUUUUGUUUUUUAGAAUAUACUGUAUUGAUUGAAAUAGAAUGGGAGAAAGAAGAGGGCGAGAGACAAAGUAGUCGAGUCUAUAGAGAGUCACAGAUUAAGAGAGUUAAAGAAAAUAGGAACCUUAGGGUGAUUUUAUAUAUAUGAACUUUACACCUUAUGUACUUUAUCUUUGGUGUAUCUUGAUUUUCUUGCUUGUCCAUCCGUAUUUAUAAAGACAGACUAGAACUUAUAGUAACUCUACAAUCUUCUUUCCAUUGCAAAGUUGCAUCUUAUUAAGAUCUAUUCCUGCAGGCAGAAUGAGAUUGAUAGUAAAUUUCUAGAAGCACAGAACAUCAUGGACUAUAGUUUUCUGCUUGGUGUGCAUUAUCAAGCUCCGCAGCAUCUGCGAUCUCUUAUGUCUUAUAAUCAAAGUCUGGCAGACGGACUUGGAGUAGUUGCGGAAGAAGGUGGGAUGCACAUUUGUAUAACCAAUUUAUGAUUUAAAGAUUCCUAAAUCUUUCGAUCAGGAUAGGUCACACAUAAGAAAAUUGAUUUCUAUUUCACAGCUAAAAGUCACGCAUUUUUCAUAACUAUAUUAACUUCAGAGCACUAGACUCCUUCUGCAGAGUAUCGCGAUAUAACCUUGUGAAUAUCAUUGAUUCACCUUGCACUCUUUUCUUACUGGUACUGUUUAUAGUUUUCUAGUAUCUUUAGGUAGAACAAGAAUACUAGUAUUCUUAAUUAAUAGUAGCAAUCUUGGGAGAGGAUGUGUAUGGCAAAAAGUAAGGGGGGAAAUGGGUUUCAGAGUUUUGCACGGCUUCAACUUGGCCUUAUUGGGGAAGCAGCUAUGGAAUUUCAUGAGUAAUCCUGACGCACUGGUUACACGUAUCUUUAAAGCCCGAUAUUUCAGUGAUUGUCAUUUAUUGAAAGCAAAGUGAGGUGCUGGUUCGAGUUUCUUAUGGACGGGCUUAUGGGAGACUAAAGAAGAGUUGUAUAAAGGCUAUAAAUGGGUUUUGGGUGAUGGAAUGGAUAUUGAAAUAUUUAGAGACCCAUGGUUACAGGGAAAAAGAGAAUUAUGUGUGGAAGACUACCAUGAUAACAAUGUCAGACCUGACAAAGUGUGCGCACAUUUCCGUUCUAAUACUAAAGAGUGGGACGAGCAUAAGGUAUGCCAAACUUUUCUCGAUGAUGAUGUUAAAUGCAUUCUUCAGACUAGAGUUCCUCAAAUUGGAAAGAAAGAUAGGGUGGCUUGGAUGGCAACUGUUGAUGGUAAGUACACUGUUAAGUCUGGGUAUCAUUACUAGUAUGACAAAAGUGGGAAUAUGGCCUCUGUUAUUGAGUGGAAUAGGUUAUGGAAUCUUGAUCUACCACACAAGAUCAAGAUAUUUAUAUGGAGGUUUUGUAGAAAUAACCUUCCUGUUAGAAAUUUGCUGAGAUGUAAAAGGUGUGUAUCCCAAUUUUAUGUCCAACGUGCAAUGCGGAUGAUGAGCAUUUACUUCACUUAUUUUUUGACUGUGGCUACGCUAAGAAAUGUUGGGAGGAAGCUGGUUUGAGCUAUGAUAUGAGGACAGUGGAGGAUGCUUUUCAUUGGCUCCUUGAGAGGUUAAGUACUGAAAUGAGCGAAAAGUUGAUUAUCAUAACAAAAGUGCUAUGGGGCAUCUGGUUUGGUCGUAAAAUGAAAGUGUGGGAUUCAAAUAGGGGUGACAGUUUUAUCCGACCCGAUGGAUACUCGACCCGUUCCGACCCGAUUGGGUCUACCCGAACCCGAUAUAGUUGGAUCUGGAUCCGGAUCUGGAUCUUAUUUUCAGACCCGAAAGAGUUUGGAUCUGGAUCUCAUAUAUUCCGAACCGAGAACCGACCCGAAACCCGAUUUAAACCUGAUCCGAACCCGAAACCCGAUAAAAACCCGAUACAAAAUAUUUUUAUAUAUAUAUAUAUAUAUAUAUAUAGGAGGAAGAUCCUAAGAAAACCCAGCUUAUCAAGAAAACUGAGAAACCCACUUAAUCACCGUUCAUCUCAUAAUCAUAAUAUUUAUCAAAAUAUCAAUCAAAUCUAAUUUAUAAAGGAUAGUAUAGUAAUCUUCUACAUACAUUUAAUGCAUUCAAUAAAUACAUGCAUUUAAUGCAUUCAAUCAGUACAUUUCUUUCUUCAAAAAGAUUUGUCUAAGAUUUGCUUCAAUAUUCACGCAUUAUCCAUACUGCAUCAAUCAAGCUCACAUAUAAGGAUUAAAUUAGUAAAAUAUAAAUAUUAUUUAACUAACAUAAAUAAUAAGAUAUGCAAUUAAUUGAUUUCUUUUUUUUAUAUUAUUUAUAUCUCAUUAAUAGUCAGAGCAUUUAGUGUAUAUUAAAUUUGAAUUUCAAAUUUCAAAAUUUCUAAGUUUCACCGUGAGAAAUAGAAAAGAUAUAAUAACAUUUUUUUAGCAUUUAUUUUUAUUUAUAAUUUUUUGACGUAAGAGGUUUCUUAAAGUAUUCCUUUAGAUAUUAUUAUAACUUUUGUAUUCGUAUUCUUUUAUAUUAAUUGGUUUAAGAUUUUUCGAAAUAAUAAUUAAUAAAAAUAUUAAAAGAGUCAAAAGAAUAUCAUACAGUGAAUAAUUUAUACAAGAAAAAUCUCAAAUUUUAAAAGAAUCUUGCAUGACACAAAUAUUUAUUAUUAAAAAUAAUAAAAUAUCUUAGAGAAUCUUUAAAAUUUUAUUAUUUAAGAUCAUAUUCUAAAAUACAUUUAGAUAAGAUAUUUUCAUAGGUAUUAUCAUGUGUACGAAAUUACUCAACAAAAUCAGAUCAAAUAUUUUCUCAUUAACUAUAGGAGAGGUAUUUCAGUUUUAUUAAUAUAACAUAUAUGAUAAAUGUCAUUUGAAUGUAAUUGGAUUCCUUCAAGUGUUUAUAUUCAAAGUAAUAAAAUAUAACAAGAUUUCGUUAAGUGUUUUGAUGCAUAUUUUAAAAGAAUAUUGCAUGGCACAAAUAUUUAUUAUUAAAAAUAAUAAAAUAUCUUAGAGAAUCUUUAAAAUUUUAUUAUUUAAGAUAUUAUUCUAAAGAGCAUUUAGAUGAGAUAUUUUCAUAGGUACUGUCAUGUGUAGGAUAUUACUCAACGGAAUCCGAUCAAAUAUUUUCUCAUUAACUAUAGGAUAGGUAUUUCAAUUUUAUUAAUAUAACACAUAUGAUAAAUGUCAUUUAAAUGUAAUUGGAUUUCUGCAAGUGUUUAUAUUCAAAGUAAUAAAAUAUAACCAGAUUCCAUUAAGUGUUUUGAUGCAUAUUUUAAAAGAAUCUUGCAUGACACAAAUAUUUAUUAUUAAAAAUAAUAAAAUAUCUUAGAGAAUCUUUAAAAUUUUAUUAUUUAAGAUCUUAUUCUAAAGAGAAUUUAGAUAAGAUAUUUUCAUAGUUACUGUCAUGUGUAGGAAAUUACUCAACGGAAUCUGAUCAAAUAUUUUCUCAUUAACUAUAUGGUAGGUAUUUUUUUUUUUUGAAGAUGAGAAUAAAUCUCACAAAUAUGAAUCGGCAAUUCACUGUGAUAAUUCUUUCAUUCAACAAAGCUUAUCAUCUAACCGUCGGAUAUGCAAGAUGACCGGGGAAAUUUAGACAAUAAAACUUUAAUGUCCGAAAAGAAAAACCCGUCUUCUUCCAAGAAUCCUGAAAAUUAAAACGAAGGAAAUAAAAAGAAUCUUGCAUGACACAAAUAUUUACUAUUAAAAAUAAUAAAAUAUCUUAGAGAAUCUCGUACAUAUAUUCCAAAAAGAUUUUGUAUGGUCAUGUUAAUGAUUAGAUAUUUAAGAUUCGAUUAAGUGUUUUAAUAUCAAAUUACUAAAUUAAAUAUUAAGCAUUUAUGAUACUAAAUGCUUUCUAUUUAAUGUUUUAAUUAAUUAUUUACUAUUGGAUAAAAAGUAAGAUUUUGACAUGUUAACUUCAUUAGUAAAAUGGUAAUGGAACCUUAAUAUUUUAACUUCAUUAGUAAAAUGGUUAAUAGAAUCUUAAUAUUUUAACAUCAUUAGUAAAAUGGUGUUAAACAUCUUAACAUCAUUAGUAAAAUGGUUAAUAAAAUCUUAAUAUUAAUCUUUCACUUAUCACAAAAAUAAAAAAAAUUAUAAUACAUCAUGUUUUUUUGUAAAAUAGUUAAAAAAAAUAAUUAAAGCAUUAAACAAAAAUUAUUUAAUAUCCUACCAAAUGUUCGUAAAAUCUAUUAAUUUUUUAACAAAUAAUAGUAUUAAAAUAUUAUCAUUAAACAUUCUUAUUAACAUCUUAUAAAAUAUACACGUUCUUUAAUUAACAUAAAUAAUAAGAUAUACAAUUAAUUGAUUUCCUUUUCUAUAUUAUUCAUAUCUUAAUUAAUCAGUGUGUAUUCAGUUUGAAUUUCAAAUUUCAAAUUUCAAAAGAUUCAACUUGAUAAAUAGAAAAGAUUUAAUGAUAUUAUUUUAGCAUUUGUUUUUAUUUAUGAUUUUUGGAUGGAGGAGGUUUCUUAAAGUGUUCCUUUAGAUAUUAUUAUAAUUUUUGUAUUGGGAUUCUUUUAUAUUAAUUGGUUUGAGAUUCUUCAAAGUAAUUAUUAAAAUUAUUAAAAGAGUCACAAGAAUAUCAUAAGGUAAAUAAUUUAUACGUGAAAAAUCUCAAAUUUUAAAAGAAUCUUGCAUUGCACAAAUUUUGUUAUUAAUUUUUUUUAGAGAAUCUCGAAUAUAUAUUCUAAAAGAAUAUAGUAUGGUCUUAAUUUAAUAUUAAAAUUAAGAUUCUAAAAGUUUUAUUAUCAAGUUUUCUCUGAAUAAAAGAUUCUACUAGAAGUUUUCUCUGAAUAAGCAUAACUAGAACACAAACUAGAACAUCCAUAAACAACUAGAACACAAACUAGAACACCCAGAAACUAACUGAAGAACAACUUCCACAAGAACCUAGUAUUCUAAGCAAACAUAACUAGAACACAAACUAGAACACCCAAAAAUUAACUCAAGAUUAACUUCCACCUUAGUAAAGAACCUAGUAUUCUAAGAAGAUCAUCUAGUAUUCUAAGAAGAUCAUGUGGAAUCCUCGAAACUUUCCCUCUCCAAGAGAUUCUGAUCAACAUCCAUCAAGUCUUUACUCGCGACGUAGAAACAGGAAAUCGAAGAAUCAAAAAGUAGGACCUCCGAGGAAAACAAAAGCUAUUAAGAACAUAGGUUAGCAUUCUCCGAAAUGUUUGGAUCAUGGAGAUUCUUGAGCAUUCUAUCCUCAAGAACAUCCUGAGCAUUUUAUCCUCCAGACUUGGGAACUCACAGAUGAACCAAUUUUCUCAUAAAUCAAUCUUCCGCCUCGUUCUUCUUCUGCCCAACUUGAAAUUGUUGACUCGAUUGGUUUGUACGACUUGAAAUUAAAAAAACUCAAAGGUUGAGGGUACUCCUUGAUGUUAAAAAGUAGAACCUUUUCGAAUCCAAUCUCCACAACCCAUUGCCUUUGUGCAUCUGAAAGAUUGUUCACGAUUCUUUUUAAGAAGAUAGGUUUGGCUCAAACCAACAAACGGUCGGUGUUCUCAUGGAGAUUCUUCUCCACCAUUAUAUCUCUGAAAAUGAAGCGAGGCUAUUUUGCGAUAGUUUGAAAAGGAAUACAAGAGUCACAACAAUUAAAUGAUAUGAAAAAGAUUUAAGAUCGAUGAGAAUGAUAUGUCGUACAAACCUUCGAUUGAUGAAUCAUAGUGUUUACACGACCUCGUAGUUUUCUCCUGCUUACAAUUCUAGUGGUUCUUCAUCACAAUGUAUACAUGUAAUGAUCUGAUAUGUAAAGAUUUGUGAUUAAUUUAUGUGCUUUGAUUGGAUUUUGGCAGAUGCCAAAAUUAUAAAAUUUCUAAUUAAUCAAAAAUAGAUUCCUUACGAUUUUGCCCUUGUGUGUGUUAGAUUUUGAUAUUUUUUGAUUGGAUUUAAUUUGGGAAAUGAUUAUAUAUGACAAAAAUAAUCAACGGCAUCUAAGAGGGUUUUUCAGUUUUCUUGAUAAUUUGGUUUUCUCUGGAACCUCACUCAUAUAUAUAUAGGCUCAUGAUCAAAUAGAAACCACUCUUAAAAUAAAAACUAGAAACCAGUUUCCCUACCACUAUUUAUAACUACGGGUAUCACUAAUUUAUACUGCACUAAUCACUGUUUUUAUAGAGUAUGUAAACAGCGAUUUUUAUCAUCAAAAUUGAGAAAAUUUACUUAUCUAAAUUAUUGAUAAUCGAUUAUAGAUGAUUAAUUUCAUCCGUAGGAAGGUUCUUGGUGGUAGGAAGCCGCAAUAGAAGCUGUAUGAUGAUGGUAAAAUAAUCGUUAGUUUUGUAAGUUAUGAUGGAAAGUGUAUGUGACUAUUGGUGAUGAUAGAACAAUGGUGGCAAGUUAUAANNNNNNNNNNNNNNNNNNNNNNNNNNNNNNNNNNNNNNNNNNNNNNNNNNNNNNNNNNNNNNNNNNNNNNNNNNNNNNNNNNNNNNNNNNNNNNNNNNNNNNNNNNNNNNNNNNNNNNNNNNNNNNNNNNNNNNNNNNNNNNNNNNNNNNNNNNNNNNNNNNNNNNNNNNNNNNNNNNNNNNNNNNNNNNNNNNNNNNNNNNNNNNNNNNNNNUAUAUAUAUUAUGUUUCAUGUAAAGUAUAUAUUCUUUCUUAAAAUUUUAGUUGUUAUGAUAUUAUAUAUUUUAUAAAUUGAUAGUAUAAAUGAUAAAUAUUUUUAUUAUCUAUUUGUAUAUCCUUUUAUAAUAUUAAUAUGUAUAUGCUUUUAUAAAAAAAUAUAGAAUAAUCUAUUAUUCUAUAUGCUUUAAUAAAAAAACAUAAAAAUAUCUAUUUUUUAUAUAUUUUUAUAAUAUUUUCAAUAUCUAUUUGUAUGUUUUUUUUAUAAAAAAACUUGAAAAUAGAAAGGAUUACCUAAUAACUUUCAAAUUAUAAAUAUAGCUCAAAAUUUAUUAUUUAUAAUUUAAAUUCUAAUAAAUUGAAAUUUGAUUAAAUUAUAUUAACCUACUCAUAUAUUUUUUCUUAAAAUUUUAGCUGUUAUGAUAUUAUAUAUUUUAUAAAUUUAUAGUAUAAAUGAUAAAUAUUUUUAUUAUCUAUCUGUAUAUACUUUUAUAAUAUUGAUAUGUAUAUGCUUUUUUAAAAAACAUAGAAUAAUCUAUUAUCUAUAUGUUUUUAUAAAAAAAACUUAGAAAUAUCUAAUUUUUAUAAUAUUUUUAAUAUCUAUUUGUAUUUUUUAUAAAAAAACAUGAAAAUAGAAAUGAUUACCUAAUAACUUUCGAAUUAUUAUUUCUCAGAACCUCUAUUAUGUUACACAUCAAAUAGAUGAUACUACUAUGUACAUCUAUUUUGAAUUAAAUAUCAAUUCAAUUCUAUACAGCACUUGUGUAAUGUACAAGCAGUUUUCUUUAAACUUCAGUUUUACAACUAUAUCCAAAAGUCCACUAAAGAUGUUAAAAUAUGUGUUGCCAUCAUGACAGCACAUCUCCGGAGGAACUUUUUGACGAAGUGUGAGUUCUUUUUAGAUUUAAAAUUUAACGUCUAUGUUAUUUUCCAUAUCAAGUUUUUUGCUUAUACUAAUAUUUGAGCAUAUAUAUAUAGGUUGACAUAAGUGAAUUAUUUACAGCACUAUAUUGUGAGGAUCAUUCUUGUCCCUUAGGAAAAAAAAUUGUUUGUAUAUUUUUAAUAGAGAAUCAUGACUAUAAGACUAUCAGUUGCAUGGAGCACUGGACUGUUUUUUUUUUUCAAUUUGUGAUGCCAGAGACAUAUAUAUCCUUGGAAUAUGAAAUAUAAUCUGCGGUACUUUAGGCAAGUGAUAUAAGUAAAAUAGUAAUAGUGCUAUUCUAAAUUCCUUUAAGUUGGCUUACAUAAUACUACUGCUUAAUUUGACAGAGUGCAACUUUUCAUUUCUUCGAACCUGCUAAACUAAUUCUUAUAAAGGGAAAAACUUGAGAAAAAGGACAUCAAGAGGCUUACUAAGUCCUAACUAUGCCUUACAUUUGAAGACCUUAAAUAGAAAUGUUUUUCUUCACCUUAUGUAUAUUCUCUCUCUGUAUACACAUGAUAUACACACUUGAUUAAAGUUUGGUUUGUUUAUUCACUAAUUUAUAAUCUAGAUGAAUAUAACCAAUCGGUUAAUAAAAUUUUAUACAAUUUUAUUUAAUUAAUAAUAAAACGCUAAUAAAAGGAUAUUAAGUUUAUAAAUAAUAAAAUUAAAAAAAUAUGGUCGCCCGUGCGAAGCACGGGUUAUAGGCUAGUAUUAUACUAAUAAGGGAACUAGUACUUAAACGAAGAAGAAGAUUACUGUUGUGUUUGGUUGAGGUGAAUGAAAAUGGAAGGAAUGGAAUAAGAUUUGAACUAUAAUUUAGUUGAAUGUAUAGUAAUUUCAUUCCUUCUACCAUUCCAUUCUUAUCACUCUUAACUAAAGCUCCAACUCUCCAUUUUGUGAAGGAAUGAUCCAUUCCUUAUCAUACCUAUUUUCUACCCAAAUCUUAUCAUACCAAAUUUGCUCUCAUUCAUUUUUUUCAAAGUCCUUCAUCCUACACUCUAUUAUUUUCUUUUAUUUUUACUCAUUCCAUUCACCCCAACUAAACAUAACAGGUCGACAAGGGUGAUGGAUAAUAAACAUAAACUAAUCUAACAGAAACACACACGAUUAUGAAAACUACAGCAAUUACUAGAUAGUAGUAAACUUGGAGAAGGCCCGGCUCGUUGAAUAAAGAGGCCCUGUGCUAAAUGUGGAUAUUGGACCCUUAUUAUCAAAAAACAGAAUAUUCAAUGAGGCCUCUGCUAAAUGUGUAUAUCGGGCCCUUAUUAUUGAAAAACAGAUGCACAAUUCAAUUAGCCACUAAACUGGAACACGUUAAUUGAAUGGAAAGAUAUAAUCAUGUUCAUUGAAAUAGAAGCUUAAAUUUUUGUAAGUCGAAGCUGAGAGAGAGGAAUACAGGACAAAAUCAUCAGACUCUGCAUCUUGAUUUUGUAUUAGUUAAGGUUUUAUUUUUUUCUUAUAGCGUUUUGUUUCGAUGCAGACAUACUGUAAUGGGCCUGAACUAUAAAACUCAGCAAUGGAUGCAAGUCGGAAAAACAGAAGUCUACACAGCAACGCAACUUGAGGGAGGAUUUUAAUUGAAAAACUAAACUUACAGCUCAGCAAUAUUUACAGUGAUGAAGAAGAUACAUACUUGUUUGUGAAAAGAGAGAAAAUGAAAUAUGGACUUAGAGCAUCUACAAGAGGCUCUUCAUUUAGGCUCCUAACUUGAUAUUUGAGGAGGGAGAAGCAAAAUGUUGCUCCAAGAGACUCUUAAGUGGCUCUUAAAUCUUAAGAGCCUCUUGUUUCUCUCUCCUCUCUCCUCAAAGUUAAGAGCCACCACAUGGCUCCUAACUUAUUUUUUCACAAUAAAAAAAUCCUUCCCUCCAAUCAACCUCCAUCUUUCCCUCUCUUUUGUUAUAGUGGAGCCCAAUAUAUGAAUAAAAUAUGAAAUAGAGAAGAGAUGUAGAGAGUAUUGUUGGAGUUUACACUCUUAACUUUGUCCUAAAUUACUAAGAGCCACAUUUUUUAUAUUAUAUUUAGGAGCCAACAAGGAGGCUCUUGGAGAUGCUCUAACAAGUUAGCUAUGACCCUAACUAUCUAUUUAUAUAGAUACAGCUCGUAGAAUAAUGUACUACUCCCUCCGUCCCCCUCAAUUGUUUACAUUGGAGGGGGACACGGAGACCAAGACAAUGUAUGAAAAAUGAGUAAAGUUAGAUGAAAAGUGGGUAAAAUGGUGGGACCCAUCAAUAUUUAAUAAUAGAUUUGAGAUAGUGGAGGAAAGUAGUGGGUGUAAUAGUAGUUUUUAUUGUUAAAUAUGAGAUAGUGGGGGAGGAUAGUGGGUGUAAUGAUGGGAAAAACUUAUUAUUUAUAGUAGAGUUAAUUGCAAUUGGCACCCCUUUGGUUUCGGCUUAUUGCACAUUGCACCUAAUAGUUUUGGAAAAUACACUUUGCAUCCCCAGACUUUUAACCCGUAGACACUUUGCACCCUUUCCGUUAAAUUCUACCGUUACCGUUAACUUUUGCAGGGGCAUUUUGGGAAAUUUAAUUAUAUUUAAUUAAAAUCAAACCUUUAUUUAAAUUUUUUGAUCAUCUAAACGAUAUUUUUCGGAAAAAUUUAAAGAACGAAAGUUGUAGAGAAUAAAAAGAUCUUCUUAGAACUAUAAGGUUCAAAACUUUCGUAAUUCUUUUUAUAAUUAUUUUUAAAAAAAUUCAAAAAUUAGCAAUCUUGUAAAAAUGAACAAUCGUUUUUAAAUAAUUAUUUAAAUUUUGAACCUUAUUGUUCUAAAAAGAUCUUUUUAUUCUCUACAACUUUCGUUCUUUAAGUUUUUCCGAAAAAUAUCGUUUAGAUGGUCAGAAAAUUUAAAUAAAAGUCUGAUUUUAAUUAAAUAUAAUUAAAUGUCCCAAAAUGCCCCUAAAAAAGUUAACGGUAACGGCAGAAAUUAACGGAAAGGGUGCAAAGUGUCUACGGGUUAAAAGUCUGGGGCUGCAAAGUGUAUUUUCCAAAACUAUUAGGUGCAAUGUGCAAUAAGCCGAAACCAAAGGGGUGCCAAUUGCAAUUAACUCUUUAUAGUAACGUAAAGAAAUGAGAGGGAAAUCCCAAUAUAGUAACUGUAAAGAAAUGAGAGGGACAGAGGGAGUAUCAAAUAUUUAGCCGCCGCUUGUCUUACAAAUGGUUACAAUGAUCCGUACUAGGACGCUAAUAACAGAUUUUGUCCUGUUUGCAGACUAGAGACUGUGAAAUUCAGAGUUUGUCCCUUAACGUACAGAUUCCUCGUACACUUUGUUAUGCCCAGAAUUUGAAGUUAUUUUGUUAGGAUGGAUUAUAAUCCCAAUAGAACAAAGACGAGUGUAUACUAGUAAAUUUAUGUUACAUUGGCACAUACAAUUGGAACCAUGCACAAGAUGUGUUCUGCGUACAAGGCUGUAAAAUUUUACAUGACGGGGCGAUAGUGAUACAUGCAAACGCCUUCAUAAUCCUUCUGCUAAGAAUUGAAUCAUCAAUCUUCAUUAAGUUAGUGCUUGAGUUAUUCAUGCCUAUAAAUAUUAUAUUUUAUAUAUAUUAUGAUCAUUCCAUGGAGUAACUCUCGACUGAACUCGGACGAAUACCAUCUUAAAAUUAAUUUUUAUAGUAUUAAUAAUACUAGCCUUUAACCCGUGCAAAGCACGGGCGACUAUAUAAUUUCAAUUUUAUUAUUUAUAAGUUUAAUGUAUUUUAUUAAUAUUUUAUUAUUAAUUAAAUAAAAUUUUAUUAAAUUAUAUAUACCUACUGGUUAUAUUCAUUUUAGAAAGUUUGUCUUGUACAAUAUUUUUCUAUAUUAUAACACAUUAGUAUAAAAAAUUAAUAUUUUUAUUACCAUAUGUGAUUUUUUUUCUUAAUAUUAAUAUAUGAUAAUGUGUUUUUCAUUAAUAUUAUUUCAUAUUUUGCAUAUUUCAUUGCAUAGCCUAGGUGACUAUAGUAUUCUAAAAAAUUUAGUUAUAUUAAAAUAUUGAGAUAACAUUUUAAGUUAUUGGAAAGAAUUUAUUCAUUUAUAUAUUUUAGGUAUUAAAAUGUUUUUGUUUGAGACGUGUUAAUUAGUGUAAUGUGUCCUGACAUUCUGAGGCCUUUUUUAGAUAGCUUAAGUUGGUAGGUACUGCAGUAGGGAUGAUCAAAAUCGAACCGAAAAUCGAAACCGAAACUAUGAAAAUGGGGACAAAACCGCACCACAAAAAACCGAACCAAUUAAUAACUGAACCGAAUAAAAACCGGACCACUAAUAUAGUUCUAUAUGCGGUUUGAUUUUGAAAUUUUUAAAACUGAAUACAAACCAAACCGAACCAGAAAAAAUUAAUUAUAUAUAAUUUUCGAAUUAUGUAUAUUAAUAUUUUAAUUUAAUUUUAUAGACCAUCAUAUAAUCGUCCCAUAUAUUAUGGGAUGUUUAAUUCUUUUUCUGCUUUACUUCGCCGACAUUUAAGUUUUUUUAUAUGCUAAAACAGAAGGCGACAACUAAACUGGUAAGUGUUGCACAGUGCACAGGUUACUUCAAUAAACAUUAUAAUAUCUUUCAUUUCGUAGUAGCAUUAAAUAUAAAAACUUCACCGUAUUAAAGUACUCGUGAAUACGAAUCUAACAAGAUCACUCAUGACUAUAUUUAGUUUUAUAGAUUAGAUGUAAAUUAGUAAUUUGUCUCAUGUUAUGAACAGUACCGACAUUACAAAUAGGAAAAGAAAAAAGAUACGGAGGGAGUAGUAAUUUAUAUGAGAUACUUGUGAGGGUGUUUGCCAUAGCUCAUGUAUAUAUUAUUUUAUAUAUUUAAAUUAUUUUAAAUUAUAACGUUAUUUAUAUAUUCAUAUCGUAUUUUAAUAAAUAUAUUAAAAAAUUAUAUAUUUGGUUUUGAAACCGAAACCGCACCAUUUAAAACCGAAUUCAAAAAACCGAACCGCACCAUUUAUAUAUAUGCGUUUGGUUUUGUGUUUUAAUUUUACAAACCGAAAACCGCACCGAACCGCACCAUACUCAUCCCAAACUGCAAGUGCUGAUUUUUUCUCAUCUAUAUCUCAAUGAACAGUUGUUCAGAGACAGUGAAGACAAGGCUUGGUAAUGUACAUAUAUUAAGCAUGCAAGUUGUUGAGUGGCUAAGAUGAUGUAGAUGCACGCACAACACAAGUUCUGGUCAUCCCACAUCUGAUGCACAUGAAGAUCUACUACUGCACAUAUGUGGUUGGGUUAUUGAUGUAGUUAGAAGAGUAUUGCAUCUUGCUACAAGGUUCAUAUAGCUGCAAUUGUUAAUAUUCUCUGCAGGGAAAUUGUAUUAAAUAGUAGGGCAUUCUGAUUGUGGUGAGGAUGUGUAGGGAUUAGAACAAGUCUUACAAAUUAUAUUGAGCUGCAGUCUCCUUAAAUUUUCUUACUGCAGCAGAACUAAGUUAAAGUUAAUAACUACAAGUAAUUAUUAUAGAAGUAGUAGGACACUUUCAAAAAAAUUGUGUUCCCCGGAAAGAUAACUGCUAAAACUGGUGAAAUUGUUACACAAGUGUUGUAUAGAAUUGAAUUGAAUUGACGGUAAAUUUAAAAUAGAUCUAGAUAGAAGUCAAUGGAUAAUGUAAGAUAAGCCGAAAGGCAUCCCAUCUGCUUCCAUGAAUGGCCUUUCUGAUAAAUCAACUUUUGCGAGUUCUGCAAGAGCAUUCAAAUCCAUUGAAAGCAAAGAUGCCUAAAAUUAUAGCAGAAAAGAAAGGAAGUCAAUGUCAUGUAAUAUGAAGCAGAGGAAAAUAAUGGAAGCUGCCUGAGUACUUAAAGCAAACAAAAAUAUCAACUAAUAUAGGAACAAAUUAGCUGAAUAAAACAAACAUACGAUCCUGAACCAUGGUAUGAAUAUAAAUACAAUGCUACCGGUUAUAUUGCAUAUUUUCCUUCUGCUUGUUUGAUAUUAUGCGUUCAUUUAAAGGUUCUUGGACUCCUUAACCACAUCUUUUCUUGUAUUACUAUUACAACACACAGUUCAGCACGACCUAGGGACAGGCAAAAUUGGGAAUCACCACAAUCAUCACAAUAUUAAACAAUCAUAUAUGCAUAUAUGUAGAAUGCUCCUUUAUUCUUAACACAAAUUCCUAAUUUCAAUCAAAUUGUGUCCCACAACAACUCUCCUAUCAAUCAUAUGAUAAAUACGACACUUCAGCAUCGACAAGAAGGAAUACAAGGGACAAAAAAUGGUUAAAAUAUAGAUCAGAUGGUUCUCCAGUAAGAGAACAUAGGUCACACCAUAAUAAUAUAGAAUAAAUAUAGACUAUAAUGAUAGUCAUGCACUUGUUUUUGCUGAAAUUACUAUUGUGCUGCAUCUGGUGCAUCAGUAACUGCUAUUCCUAUACCAGCUUUCUUCAGAAAGGGGGAUCAUUGACACAAUCUCUAGUCAUACCACAAAUAUGCUUCUUCUCCUGUAACUUCUUUACUAUUUCAUACUUGUGCUCACACUUAAAAAGGACCUAAUAAUAGCUAGACCAGAUGAAAUAACAAUACAAACCGACCCCAAGCAGCUGCAGUACUCUAUUAGUGCUUCAAAACAACAAAGAAAGAAAAAAAAGAGAAACAAAGAUUGUAUGUAUAGUAGAAAUCAUAGACAAGUAUAUCAUGAUCAACAGAUAAAACUUGCUCAAUCAGCUUUAUAAUAUAGUCUCACCAUAAACUCAAAAUCAACACUAUUUGUGGAUAUCCAGAUUCUUCACUCAAGUACAUCUCAAUUACUUUAUAUUCGUGUCGUAAAACACUCCUCCCUCUGUUUUCAAAAUAGAUGACGCUUAACUGGUAUCUAAUUCAAAAUCAAGUUUUUUUAAACAGAUAAAAUUUGCUCAAUCAGCUUUAUAAUAUAGUCUCACCAUAAACUCAAAAUCAACACUAUUUGUAGAUAUCCAGAUUCUCCACUCUUUUAACUGGGAUACGAAACAGUUCUGAUAUGGAACAAGAUAGACUACACCACCCCCCUUGGAUGUUCCCGGUUCUAAUUAAGCCUGAAAAUGGCUUUAUAUGACUUAUUUAGUUUGUGCACUGAAUUUGUGAUAUUUCUUCUUGAUUUGUAUGGUUUAUCCAAAUCUUACUUAUAUUUAAUUUUCCUGUUUGUUGCUGCAUUAUUACCUUGUAGGUUAAUUUUCUGCAGGCCAAUAACAAUCAUCAGCUUGCAAGGCCGCAAAGAAGGUGACAGUUCUUUUCAAUGUGGUUCUGACCGUCUCAUAGCUGAGUGAGUUGAUGUUUCAAACAACUCUCGGAUCAAACCUGGUCUGCAACAGUAAGACAUACACCUAAAAUAGCUGAAUCCCCGGCUUCCAUUCUAGGACAAGUACUUGAAGAAGAAUUAUCUUGGUAUUUAUUUAACUGCUGUUUUGUGUAAAAGCAUGUGAUAAUUUUUUUAGAACUUCCGACUAGUUGAACUGUCCUUAACAGGGCUAUGGAAGAAACAAAAUUUGUAUAAUAUUAAUGAAGUCUAGCACAAAAUAAUUGCAUUUCACAAGAAAUUUUACGUAGUAAGAUUUUAAUCAGGAUGCUAGCAAUUUAUUCAAUCAGUUUAGUAGUUUACUGUUAUAAAAGAAAAACCACAAAUACCAAACAAAUCACCUUAAAAUUUCAAGUUAAUAAUUAAUUAUGGAGUUUCAAAAAAUUAUAUUUAGAAUUUAAAAUUAUAGGUGGCAUGAUCAAUUAUUAAUUAUUGUAUACAGAACUAAAUCAGAAUAUUAUACUGAACUAUAUAUUUAAAUUUUAUAUGAUUUUUAUAUUGCUUUAGAUUAUAGACUAAUUCAUAAAUAAUAGUUUAUAAUGUUUAAUUUUAUAAUUAUCAUUUAUAUAUUAUUUUACUAUAUAUAUAAUUAAGACCAAUCUCUUUGCAUCAAAGGUGAUAUCGCUUUGUUUAUUCAUUCCUUUAAUUAUAUGUUACAGGGACAGCAGCACUGAUCUCUCCGUGAUCAUAGGGGCCAUGUAUGCAGCCGUAUUAUUUGUGGGAAUCAACAAUUGCUCAACAGUACAACCAAUUGUAGCAGUUGAAAGAACAGUAUUUUAUCGCGCAAGAGCAGCUGGGAUGUACUCUGCAAUCCCUUAUGCCUUAUCACAGGUAGUUUAUCGAAAUCUCUCGAUAUCAAUUUUCACUCAUCAAUAAAAUCUGUUCAGACCUGCUAAUCAAGGGCUUUCGUCGAUGCAGGUAUUUGUCGAGAUAGCAUAUGUGCUUGUCCAAACCAUAUACUACACUCUUAUAGUGUAUGCAAUGGUGUGCUUCGAAUGGACAGCUGCAAAAUUCUUCUGGUUCUUCUUCAUAACAUUUUUCUCCUUCCUCUACUUCACAUACUACGGAAUGAUGAUUGUGUCAAUCACACCAAACCAGCAAGUAGCCGCCAUUUUUGCAGCUGCAUUUUACGCGCUCUUCAAUCUGUUCUCCAGUUUCUUCAUCCCCAAACCAGUAAGUCACUUCCACAUUUAUCCUCUAAAAAUUCAGAAUAUCAAAAGAAAAAAAAAUCUAAGUCUGCAUUUUCUUGUUUUAUAAAAAUUACCAGAAAAUUCCUAAGUAGUGGAUAUGGUACUACUACCUCUACCCCGUGGCAUGGACUGUCUACGGAAUAAUAGUAUCACCCUAUGGCGACGUAACAGACACCAUCACAGUUCCAGGAAUGUCGACUAAACCAACCAUCAAAUGGUACAUAAAUGAUCAUUAUGGGUAUGAGUCGGAUUUUAUGGCGCCAGUAGCUGUGGUAUUAAUUGGUUUUACAGUCGUUCUUGUAUGCUUACUGCCUUAAAACAUUGAAAUUCCUGACAAAGUAGAGGACUGAAGAUCAGAGGGAGGUCUGUGAGUGUAGUAUAAUGGAGAAAUUGGACAGCAUGAAGAAGAAUAGUACUAAUGGUAAGAAAGAUUAUGACGGGGAUGAGGGUGUGGAGAGAAGGAGGGCAAGGAGAGAGAGGUCGAAGUUGAGGACAAAGAAAACGGAGAAUGGUAUUAAUGGUGGUGUAACUGUAUGUACUUCUGAUGAAAAAGUGAUUGAUAGUGCUGGGAAGAUGUACUGUAGUAAAUACUAACAUAAGAUUUUAGUUUCUACAGACCAUAACAAUAAAGUUUUUCAAUCAAGACAAAUAGAACCAAUUACCUAAUCCGACUUCCUUCCAUCAUCACUCACGACGCUUGUACGAUGAAUGCUUCCUAGCACCCCUUGCAUUCUCAUACUCAAAUUUCAACACAUGUGGUACAUGUGAAGUAUCCUUGACAUUGUUGUUGAGUCGCUCGACUAGUCGCGACUAGUCGUCGACUAGUCGAGUAGUCGGUGUGCAGGGCUCGACUGGGAUGGUCGACUAGACAGAUGUAAGUAUUUCGCCCGACUUAUGACUGACUGGUCGACUGGGUCGACUAGUCGGGUCGACUGGAAGACCCAGUCGGUCGACUAGUGUUCAAAUUCUAAAAAAAAUCAAAAACCCAGUUGUAUCAAAACCUAAAAACAAAAGCCCAGCAGCCUCCAGUCGAUUCCAAGCAGUCUCAGUCACUUCUAACAUCGAUUGAAUCGAUUCCAGUAGCUUUGUUUACUCUGUUAUUACUUACAUUUACACACACUCUGUUAUUACACACACUUGCACACUCUAUAAUCAGUAGUCACUAGUUGCAAUAGGCAUUGUUUAAUGCCAGUACACACACACAGAAUCACAGUUGCUUUGUUUAAUCUGCAGAAUGGCUGAUGCAUCGAACAAGGCUGUUUAUGCAUAAUUAAAAAGUGAGAAUGUAGAAGUUAGAACAGACAUAUAUAAUUUAUUACACAUAUAAAUAUAAGUAUAUAUAAUAUAUAAUAUUAAUUUUAUACCUUGUCGACUAGUGUCGACUAGUCUACGACUAGUCUCGACUAGUCACGACUCGACUUGCCGGAGAGUCUAGUCGACUCGACUCGACUUACCGACUUAACAACCAUGAUCCUUGAAAUAUAACACGCUCCCAAUUGGACUCUCUUCAAUCAUAGGAAAAUAUAAUUAACAAUAUAAAACCAACCCCCGUCAAGCAAAGCACCCAAUGUAACACCCUAAAACACCUGUACAACAGUAUAAGAACUAACUCUCAUCAAUAACCUCUAAUAUCAAACUUGAAAAGUACCGACUUCAAGGAGACUUCUACACAGCCUAGUUGAACUGACCUUAAGAGGGCCCUAAUUACGUGCUAAGAAUAACUAACUCUCAUAUCAAACUUGAAAAGGCAUAAUCAAAUUAUCAUAUUCAUAGGUAAUUAUCAAAUUAUCAUAGGUAAUUGUAUCUAAAGCAACAAUUAAAACUGGAUAAACAAAAAACCAAAUAAAUAAGUGAUUACCUCCUUGGACUGUAUGUGAAGAUACGAAGCUCUCCCCGAUAUGGAGACGGAGACAGAGGGCGAUGAAGACAGGGACAGAGAGCGAAGGUGAGUGUAUUGGUGAAUGUGAUGGAGAGGGAUACUGAUACUUGUAUCCUGUUCUAUUUGUUUUUGAUACUUCUAUCCUGUUCUAUUUGUUUUUGUUUUAAAAAGCAAGACUUGAAUUGUUCGUUAUUCUCAGCAGGGGUAAUAUAGGGUAAGCGACGAAACGAAACUAAAAGACUAAACCAAAAAUUUUGUACGAAAAAACAACGACCAAACCAAAAAUUGUGAAGGAAAAGUAGGACUACAAAUUAUACCCAUCUUGGCUUUUUAUAGUAUAGUAUAGAUUGAGAUUUUAAAAUUAUAUAAUCUGAAUAAUCGUAUUAUAUAUCAUUUUAAAAUUUUCAAACAAUAUAAAAUACAAAAUAAUUGCAAAAGAAAUAACUCGGUGUCCGUCCCGGACUCUAAACUAGAAUAAAUUUAAUAUAAAAUCCAUAAAUAUUAUAUUUAAAAUUAUGAUCACUAAUGGAAGGAAAAUGCUAGAUGGGGAUGGGCAUUUUACCGCCCCGCUCGACCUCAAUCCGAUUCCAGUCACGUUCGUAUCGGGGGAGCGGGGACUUUUUUGGGUAAAGGAUGGGGGAUCGGGGGAAGUUUAUUAAAUAUUCGGGGAUCGGAAAGGGUUCGCAUAUUGUCUCCCCAUCCCGAUGAGCCCAAAAACUCCUCAAUUUUCAUAUAUAAUAUAAAUAUUAUAUUUAUAUAUUAUUAUAAUACUACUUAUUAAUUAUAAAUAUAUAUUAUAUAUAUAGUUUAAAUAAUCUUCAUCAUUUUAUUAUUUAAAUGUAUUCAUAUUAUAACAUAAAUUAAUUAUAAUAAAUAUAGUUAUAUCUUCUAAUUUUUUGUGUUAGUUUAAAUUAAUACUCAAAAUGCUACAUAAAAGUAGAAACCUAUUAUGUACAAUGACAUAUUAAUACAAUUUUAAAUUAGAAUUUAUAUUAUAAUAUUUUUAAAAAAAUUAAUGAAUUCUCCAAAUCCCACAUUCAGGGCGGGGAUCGGGGAGCAAACGAAUUCCGUUCAGAAAUUGAGGCGGGUUCGGAGAUCGGAGACGGGGAUAACAUUCCGCGACUCGGAAGUGACCCAAAGCCCGUCCCUAAUGCUAGAUAUCCUAAAAAGGUGUUGCCAAAUCAUUAUCCCAAAUAUAGUUAACGACCUUCAAUAAUAAUAAAUGAUCUACAUAAAUCACCCAAUUAAAAUUAUUCAUAUGUUAUUUGAAAAAAUUUCGAUUCAACCAAAAAUAAGAAGCAUGAGAAAAAGUAAAACUCCAAGUCCUCUCGUUUAAGAGCCAUUACAUGACUCUUAUAUUACUCUUUUAUAAUAAAAUUCAUUCUCUCCCAUUUGAAUUUGAAUUUUUGUGAUAAUGGAGUUCAAAUAUGAAUAAAAUAUAAUGUUAGAAGUGAGUAUAAAGAGCAUUAGCGGAGUUUAUCAUUACACGACUCUUAAUUUAUUUUUAUAAUAAAGUAUCCAUUCCCUCUCAUUUGAAUUUGAAUGUUUGUCACAGUGGAGUUCAAAUAAAAAUAAAAUAUAAUGUUAGGAAGGUAUAUAAAGAUUCACACUCUUCAUAAUGUAUUAAUUUACUAAUAACUUAACAUUUUAUAUUAUAUUUAAGAAUAACCAGGAGCUUAUUGGAAAUGCUCUAACACAAGGAACCGAAUCCAACAGUUUCGGUUCGGGUCUUUCUACAGCGUUUUUUAUCCUUCUUGCACAAGAUCAGACUACUGAAACGAUGUGACAUGCUUGAAUGUAGCAACACAAGUACAUGCACCCAAUUGAACUACUGUGGAUAUUACAAAAACCACAAAGUCAUAUACUACACUAAGGAAGCAAUUACAUCCUUUUACUACAGAAACUCUACCUACAAAGUUAUCUAAAUCAUUAAUAUAGAGCUCCUAACAAGUGACUAAAUCAAUUAAAGAGGGACAAUACAACUGCAUAUUGUUAAUCAGCUACAACAUUAAGUGACUAUGAAAUCACUAAACCAAUGCAUACAGCAAGACCACAGCUAUAUAUUAUCAAUUCGCAACCUUUCUGUGCCCAGCAAACCAUAUCGCACAAAAUGGCUCCAGAAAACAACAGUACUCGUUCUGAAACUAGUUUGAGAACGAGAACACACGCAACAAUUAAACAAACUGUUAUUAUGGUGAUCUCCUUCUUUUCCAGAUAUGCUUGCUCGCCUGCAACUUUUUCGAUAUCUAAUCUGCAAAUCAAGUUAAACAUAACAGGAUCAACACAUGCUUCAAAACAUCAGUUAUUAUGCCAAGUAUAUUAGUUUCAAGUCAAAAUAUCAGUUAUAAUGUGAGAUAUGUUACUUUUAAGUCAAAAUACAGGUUAAAUUUGUCCUGAGCAAAUUCAUGGAAUUUUAGAAUCUUGCAGAACUGACCAUUUGAGCAGGAAAAGAUAAACGUGUAUGAGCUUAUACGACUAGUACAUGUGCGUAUCACAAACCUCAAAUUAACAUUUUCUCUUAUCACUGAUUCCAGCUUCGACAUGACGCCACUUUUCCAUGAAUCAAUGUCAGCAACUUCUUUCUCCUGCAAAAUCAUAUGAAUCACAUUAAAAAUGACAAAGUUAACAUAAAUGGUUUACAUGCCAAGUGAAACUUAAAGAGUAAUGCAGAUGUGCACGCACCAUAAUCUCUUUCCAUUCUAAAAUAUCCUUGACCUCGAUUUUGCUCUUUUCCAACAGCUUUUUAUAGUCUGCAAUUUUUUUCUCCAGGUCAGGUAUAACCUCUGUUUGUCCAUUGUUUAAUCGUUUGAUGUACUCCUCCAAUGCGGAUAAAUUUGUUUCAAGUGACCUCACCUUCUGCAUUAAUAUUUUAAGAACGACAUCCCCGUGUAUUCUACCACUUGAUUGUUGUCUAACUUUGACUGUCGGAUUGACUAUAGGAUCAGGGAUGUUGCUUACUGUGACUUGAACUUUUGGUGCAUCAACUGUUGGCUUAUUCCCAUCAUCAGCCCCUUCUACCCCUUUACUUUUACUAGAGACAUCAACCGCCUGUUUAGCUUCACCAUCAACCUUUUUAUCAUUAACGCCUGAUUCUGGUUUUGCAGACAGAGUAAUAGUUGAAUUAGGUUUUGAUAAUUUAGUGGAAGCACUUUCCUCAGAUUUUACAAUGAGAUCUUCAAGCAUCUGCUCAAUUGCAUCAUCUCCAUACACUCCCACAAGACUCAACGUGCAGUAAAAUUCUGAUCCAUAAUGACUAAGCAAAUUCAGCUUUAAGUAUCUCACCCACUUUGGUUCAGGUAGCUUAAAACUUUGAGUAUGCUUCACAUUUGCUGCGACAAAGCUUCCCAAUGAGUACCAUAUCUCAGUUGGAUAAGUCAAACUACCAGACAAAUUAAACUCCUUAAAAUUAGAAGAAUAAUGUUCAAAAUUUGCAAUUUUGACAGCAUCUACCAGCGUCUCCUCAGCGAGUUCAAUGACAACAUAUUUCCCCCCAAUUGAACAAGGAUUUCUCAAAUAUUUAUCAUGGUCUUUCCCCAAUAUGUUGCUAGCUCCUUUUGCUUCCUUGUUGUGCGCAACCACCUUUGCACCCUUUGAAUCAGAGGCGUAGUUGUAUUCCGUCCCAUCAGGUUCAAGUCUAUGGGUAAUAUUAACGCGUGCAUUUGGUGUAGAGCCUUUUUCUUUCAUUGUCAUGUUUAGUGAUGCAUCAAAAGAUGCUUCAUAUGUUCUAGCAGUAUCAAAUUUUCCCGUUUUUGUAUAUCUAUCUUCAUCUUGCAGGUUAAGCUCACACAUCAACUCCCUAUACCCUAAUAUACUCUGGACUAAAUCUUUCCGACGACAUGUUCCCUGAGGUGAUUUCCUCGAAUUUGUAUUGUUAUGAUCCUGACCACUAGGUUUACUAAUAUUCAGAGGCACUUUAACUUCGAAAACUAAUUCUUGCUUAUAAUCAUCAUCCCUAUUUUCUACAAAAUCAUAUGCGAUGUCAGAAUGCUUGUCAUAAGAUAUACUUGAGUUAGUCAUGCUCCGAUUACUGGACUGUACAUUCCCUGUUCAAUACAAAUCUCAAUCACUACAAACUAUUACAUCCAAAAAAUCUAAAUACCAAACAAACAAUGAUCAUUUCAUUCAUAAUAAGUCUACAUAAUUUGACAUUACUACAAGGAACUCGCAUAAUUUCGACAGAAAAUCAUGAACCAUAUAUCCCACAAAUUCUUCCAGAAACAGAUUAACCCGCAAUAAAAAAAUCAAAAACACUAAAUUAAAUUCAAAAAAAAAUAAUCAAAAACCAAAGAGUGCCUAAAAUUUAACCCAAAGAUUCCAAAACCACUAAAAUUAAAUGCAUAAAAAUGGGUCUUAACUCACAAUAAAAAAAUGAAAACCACUAAAAUAAAAAAGUAAAAAGAUAAAAAAUUUACCUCCAUUACCGUAUGUAAGGCCAAGCUUAGAAUAAAACAAGAAAACAAGAAACCAAAAGGAGAUCAUUAAAGGCAAAGAAAGCUCAAACAAGCUCUUCUUCUCAAUGUCUUUUUGUGGGCCCCUUUUUCCAGACUUGAUGUAUAUGAGAUCACCGUUGUGGGUUUUCUUUUUCCUCAUAUCUCAUCGUCAUUUAACUUUUCCGGCGGCCGUUAAAAUUCAUCGGCGACAGGGGUGUUUUAUGUAGUUGGUGAUAUAAAUUGGAUUUAUUAUGUUGUGUUGCAUGUGGGGUUGUGUGAGAAUGUCUGAAAAUAUGUUUUAAUCGGAGAGGGAUGGCUUGUUUGGUUGGUGAGGUGGUGUUUUUGUGUGGCUGUGCAAAGGUUUGCUUCCGAAAGUACCGGAAAGUGUUUUACUACUUCCACUCCACUAUUUUUCUGUUUUUAAAUACUCCGUCUGUUUUUUAAUAUAUGACGAUUGACUUUUUGGCACACAUUUUUAAGUGUUUUGACCGAGUAGUUAAAAUAUUAUUUUUGAAAUUUUCUUUUUCUGAAUAAAAAUAUAUAAUCAAAAUUUUAAUUCACCAAAAAAAUCAAUUAAAAAUAAUGAUUUUUACUAUCCAGUCAACCCACCUAAAGGUACGUGCACAAGUCAAAAGUGACAUAUAAAAAAACAGAGGGAGUAUGACUACAGUCUACACGUGCAGACGUGCUACUUUCGUUUAUUGUUUUCAUGACUGUCUUAAUAUUUUUUUAUUAAAGAAUUUGAAUAUUUUAUGUGUUAGACAAAGAAAACAAAAUAAUUAUUUAUUUAACUCGUUUUUUCGACAGUUUGGGUCUGUCUCGGCUGGGUUUUGACGAGUGGUUUCUGUUAAUAAAACUAAUUGUAUGUCAAAAAAUAAUAAUAAGGAGAUGAUCUGAUGAUGAUCAAGCGUCUACAUGUUAAAUGUUAUUCUCUUCGUUUCUUUUUUUUUUUAAGAUUUUUUAUUUUUGACAUGUAUUUUAAAAUAACAGGUAAAAUAUAAUUUCAUAACUUAUUUUUAAAUUUAUUUUCUAAAAUAUUUGAUAUUAAAUUUUUAUUAAAAAAAAUUAAAAAUAAUUUAUAAAACUACAUUUAAUAUAAACGUAUUAGAAUAUGUGCUAGUUUUCGCAAGAUAAAGAACCUAGAAAGACAAAUAGAGUAUCUUGUCUCCAUUUUUAUUAUCCUAUAAGAAUUUCGGUACUGAUAUUACCAACCGGAGACACAUGCUCUCUGCUUCCACACACACACUGUUUUCAGGAUCUGGUGUGUUCAUGACCCAGAAGUAGAUAACUUCUUACACCAGGACACAUUAGCUGGAAAAAUGGUGGGCUUGUGAGAUAGUUGCGGAGUGGUCAGAAGCCAAGUCAUUCAUAACAACAUCCUGUAAGGAAUCUGGUAAAUCGCAAAGUUGUCUGGUUUAAGGCAUAACCAUAGGGCAUUUCAAUAUCAAAGCCAACAUCUGCGACAAACUCAAAGAGUCCAGAAAUUUGCUAGACUCUGGCUAAGAAGAUCCUGUUAUAUAGUCCGCAACAAGCCUCUGACAUUGUACAGAUGGUGUAGAAUUUCGUAGCUCAUUUCUUCCAUAUUUACAGUUUACAUUCAGUUGUGAAUAUUUAUGCCGACAUUUUUUUAAAAUUCAUGCAAAAAACUAUAAAAUCCACAUGCAUACACAGAUUGUAAUGUGGAACAUCCAGAAACAUAAAUAACAACAGAACACGAGUUUGGGGUUCCAAUUUUCAUAUUUAUCACAACAAGGAGGUCCACCUCACGGAGUAAACUUGCCACCAUGCUUUAGAAUGGGGAGCUGGGACACCUCCUCAACAAUCCGAGUUUAUCUUUUGCCCGGGCCUCAUCUUUGGCUUCUUCUGCUUCAAUGUUCUGCAUGAUGUUCACAAAAAACAUCUCAAAAUUUAACAUAUUCAAGAAUGCAGGACAACAUUUCCACCAAAUUUUCAUCAUCGGUUAGUACAAAACAUUGAAACUUUACAUAAAAAAUGCACAAUUCAAAUGGCACAAACCUCCACAAGGAAUGACAUCAUCACAUUGCACCAUUUCUGUAAAAUUGUGUUUAUGGGCUCACAAGAUUAGUUUGAGUGAAUAGUGCUGGUCUUUAACGCUGCCUGUUCAUGUCACUCAACAAAGAGAGUUUUGUUAACACAAGAAGCUAUUGUAAACAAAUAAAUUCUAAUAAAUUGAAGCUAGAUGACCAGGAAUAGGGUAUAUACCAAUCUAUGUCUGAGGUAACUGGUAAGCAUUCUUAACUUUCCAAUGAUUCAGCUCUGCUUCUAGUUCAACCGUGUACGCCUGUCCAUACAAAUAAAACAUUUGAGGUAUCACAACAGUAAAAAAUACACACUUCAGUUUAGAAACAAGAUAAGAGCGGUACAUGUUUUCUUGCUCUGGAUCUUACUGCAGACUCCCUGUUUUUCAGUAUCUUCUUUCGACGGUUCUCAAUGACCCUUUCCACAGGGCCAUUCCGCUUCCUUCCCUAUCCCAUCAGAGGAAACAUGACUCAUGUUGGUAUUACUCCCCCUCCAUGAACACUAUAGGCAAGUUGGUAUGUGCUGUCGCUACUUAUUCCACCUGGCAAGCAAGCCGCUACACUUGCUCUACCAAUUUGUGGCAGUGAUUUGAAUAGAGUAAGAAUAUUAAGCUACCAGCACCACCAUAUCCCAGAACCAUAAAGCUAGAUGCUGCUGUAUUUUCGUAGUUUACAUGCAUACCAUAGGCCAGUUGAGAGUGAGGCUGUGGCUGAAGCUGAGGCAGCUGAGGGGGAAGAGAAGGAGGAGGAGGUGGUUGUGCUUGUCUGGCACUUUCUUCUCGGACUACACCUGCCCUGACAAAAAAUUCCUCCAGUGUCAUUUUUCCAUAUGCAGGUUCGCUUUGCCUGGAACCAGAAUGAUCGGUGCUUUGCUGUGUUCUACUGAUCUCAGACCACACUUCUGCCCCUCUUUUCAAGCUCAUUUAUUUAAUUUUUUUAAAUUGAAAUAUUGAUUCCAGUAAUCGACCAAUAACAUGAUAUGAGAUAUGAUACCUUAAAAGCAUAUUAAUUUAACUCGUUUCCUCAACCUCAUAGGACUACACUGCGCAAACCAAACGACCCCUUGGAGUCUGUUUUAUGAUACCGGAUUUUAUUGGCGAUUUACCCAUUCACUGACUUUUGCUAGCCCUUUUCAAAUUUAAUCUUAAAAUUUUACAUGUUUAUAUAAUAAGUCAGAGACUGACAAUAUGUAAAAUAUGUGAGAACCUGAUUUAAUUUCAUAAGUUGGUAGGUUGUAUUUUUUUGAACAACUUAUUUUAUUUAAUGAUUUUUCUAAUAUAAAUCAAUUUCAUCAUUCAAAUGAAUAACAUAAUAAAUUACUUUUAUUAUUAUAAUUUUAAUAACUUAUAAGUCACAUACAAUGUAAAUUAUCUAGAUAACUUAAAUUACACACCUAUCAUGACAAAGAGAAAUACUUAUAUUAUAUGGAGGUAGAGUAGGGGUUUAUUGGUACCAUAAAUAUUCUAUAAAAAUGACAAAACCGAAAAUAUAAGGAUUACAUUUAAUCAUUUUUUGUUGGAACUUCUUGCAGUUACAAUUAAACUCAAAUAUAUUGUUCUAAUGGGGCUCCAGGUUUAUUAAAGAAAGAAGCUGCUCUAAUUCUUCUGCUACUUGCUUUGCAUCAGGUCUUGAUUUGGUAUCUACUGAGGUGCAUCUAAGUGCGAGGGAAGAGGCUGUUGAUGCUGCUCCUACAGUGUAUUGGCCUUCCAAAUGUGCAUCCAUUAUAUCCAAAAUCCCAUGCUCUUUGCUGAGCCGAGACUGAACCGAAGAAGCCAGGUUCACCUCAUUGUCGGCUUUUCGUCCUGUCAAAAGUUCCAGGAGGACAACUCCAAAGCUGUAGACAUCGCUUUUCAAUGUUAAUUCACCUUCAUAAGAAUAGAUUAUCAUGGGAUUAGUAGAUAAUACAGAAGCAAGGAGUAUGUGCCCUGCUUGAUUAGAGAUAUUUGCAAUCUACUUCCAGAAAAAAUAUAACAUGUACACAGCUAAACCCUUUAGACGUAAGGUUAUGUGAAAUAUUAACCUGUAUGAUAAUAUUCGGGAUCUAUAUAACCGAAUGUUCCCUGAACACGUGUAGUAACAUGGGAUCUUUCCUCUUCUGGUCCGUCCUUAGCCAGACUAAAACCAGAGAGCUUUGCAUUGUAUUUCUGUCAGUAACAGAAAUUUUGUCAGGCAAAAGUAUAUUUUUAGGGGGAACAAUGGUCGGUAGUAAAUUUUAACCAUCAUUGUUUCUACAUACUGAAUCAAUCAAUAUGUUGGAUGUUUUGACAUCACGAUGUAUAACAUUUACUCCUGGACCAUGAAGAUAUGCAAGCCCCUUAGCAGCUCCAUGAGCAAGACCUAUACGAAGUUUCCAGGAGAGCCGUUGAGAAGUAGAAACCCCUGUUUCAAGUGAAUUAAGUAGCUGCGUCAAACAACAGUUUUUCACAGGCAUAGCUUACAAAACCCAGGUUUUUCCCCUUCUUAAGAUUUUUACAAUUUUACGCGGAGCCCACCAUCUAAUAACUUAUGACGAAUAUUAUACGAGCGAUGAAAAAUUGAACUUAAGACGCAUUCAAAAGCGACAGAUAUUUUCCGUCGUAAUUGUGUCCAUUUACGACAGAUGCAGUGUUAUAAGAGGAUAAUUGACUAGAUCAGAGCUAAUAAUAUUAAGAAACUCACGCAGAUGCUGGUCCAAGCGUCCAUGAAGUGGGUGCUCAAGUACUAGAAGCCGCUCCUUUUCCAAGCAAUAUCCAAUCAGUUUUACGAUAUUAGGAUGACAAAGUUUUCUUAAGGUAUCGAUUUCUUUCUGUAGUAUAAGAGGUGACAGAGUUCUUUAGUAGCUUAAAUAAAACACAACAAAAAUUGUAAAACUAAAACAAAAAGAUCACAGGGAAAUGUAUUGCAGGCAAAAGUUGAAAAGUGAGACUAACCAACCACACCUCCUUGAAAUUUGGGUUAUCUUUCAAUCUCUUUAUUGUAGUAAUCGGACCAGUACCCUUAUAAUAAGUAUAAUAAUCAUCAUUCCCCCACAGAGCACCGGGAUCGAACUUGCUGGUAGCUGUCCUGAGAUGAUGGAAUGUGUAACUCUUCAAAUUUGAUGGCUUCAUGAUGAGCUUUGAACAGGGCUGUUUGAGACUUUUUUUUUGAGGCCCUGUGCUAACUAUAAGAAUGAGGUCCUCCCAAAUGACAACACAAAAUUUUAAUAUAUUUAAAAUAAUAAGAUAUCAUCCAUAAAAUUAUACUACUACAACUGAAAAAUUGUUUGAUUGCAACUACUACAAAAAACAUCAACUAUUACUUGAACUUGUCACUUCUUCUAGCGUUUUUUGAAGUGAAUUCAUCCACCAAGUCUUCAUAAUCAAUUGGUUGGAGGCUUUUAAAAAAUAAAAUUCAGAUAAUUUCUACACCCAUUUGAUGAACACCGGAGCUUGAAAUCUUUGAUGGAGUCUGGAGAAGAAAUGGCAUGACAGUGGAAUGGACAAAUGAGUCACUAAAAUAUGUUUGCUCGUUAAAAGUUUUGUUUUUUUGGAUAGUUAGACUUAAAUAUGUGUGUGGCCAUGUGGGAUUUAGCUUACACAGUGUACUAGUUUGUGGGGGUGGGGGGAGGAAUAAGAAGAGACAUGCAUAGCUCGAUCUUGAGAAUUGAUUAGUGUUUAAAUAAAAUAAUGUUAACAAUUAAAGAGAUGUUAAUAUUAUAUUAUAUUUAUCAUGAGUAUACUAAGAGAUAGACAGAAGUAGUCAUAUAAAAACGGCCCUGGCUUUGAAUCCCUGUUGACUGGCGUACUUGGCCAAACCUAUUUUUAGCGUAUUCGUGUAGCUUUUGUUAAAGAAACUAUAGGUCAAUUUAUGAUUUAUAAAUCUAUAUAGAUGAAAUUGAAGAUCUUAAUUUUUUUGUUACUUAAUUUGGAUUUACAAAACGUAUUACAGUGAGAUUACCUGAUAUGACCCGAGCUGCAAGUGUCAGCAAAGUAGCAAAUCUUUGAAAAGAAGAAGACUGCUUCUCUUUCUCGGGGAAGAAUGAAGAAGACUGCUUUUCCUGAUGCCUACUGCUGGAAAUACCAUCCAGCUCAUCAUCGGAAUUUUCAUUCUCCACCUCAUGGUCUGAUACAUCUCCUUCCUCCACCUCAGAGUCUGAUAUAUCUAUUUCCUCUUGGUUCUCAUCACUAGUUAUCUUUUCAGUCCUCUUUUCUUGCAAGGCCAAGGCAGACUCAAGACCAACAACAACCUCAGCCAUAGUGGGACGAUGUUUAGGUUCGGUCUGUAAACACUGGAUUGCAACUUUCACGAACAUCUCUAGAGAAUCAGGAUACACAUUAUCUUUUAUUCCCUCAUCAAUAAUUUCCCCCAGUCUUUUCUCUCUGAAGCAAUAUUGUGCCCAUCUAGCUAAACCAAUUUGCUCUUCAUCCAGACUCUUGUCCACUGCUGGCCUUCCACACAAGACCUCAAAUAACACAACACCGAAGGCAUACACGUCGGAUUUCCUCGUGAGCCUUUGGGUUUGGAAAUAAUCAGGAUCAAAAUAUCCAAAGGUUCCUUUCACCUGAGUGCUUACGAAUGUAUGCGUCUGAUUAGCUGGACUUGUUCUAGAUAAUCCGAAAUCAGAAACCUUAGCUGCAAAAUUCUGGUCAAGUAGGAUGUUAGUGCUCUUUACAUCACGGUGUAUGAUUCUCUGGUAAAUCCCUGUUCCAGUGUGAAGGUAAUCCAGUCCUCGAGCUGCUCCGAUACAAAUCUUGAGACGUUGAACCCAUGAAAGAGGCGAAGAAGAAGUGUCAUCUUGUCUAAGCCUCUUAUGAAUAUGAUCGGCUAACGUACCACCUGCCAUAAAUUCAUAAACAAGAAUCAUCUCAUAACCUUCAUUACAGUAACCAAUUAAAGACACUAGAUUGAUGUGCCGAAUUUUUGAGAGCAUCUCAAUCUCUGCACGGAAUUCUGUGGAUCCUUGUUUCGAAGUUGAUUUCAACCGUUUUAUGGCAACUAGAGUUGCUCCCAGAGUCCCUUUGUAAACAUUUCCAAACCCGCCUUUUCCGAUCACUAAUUCGAUGUGGAAGUUACGUGUCGCACGCUUCAUCUCAUUAAAGGAGAAACGGUAACAUGAUUGUCGAGUAGACGAUGAUUGAAGCCAGUUUUUUUGUUCCACGACUUCUGCUUCUUGAAGUUUUUGGAGCAUGUAAACUACGAUAUUCAAGAUGGUAAUAAGAAUAAUUGCUAAAUUUACAGUGAUGUUUGUAUAUCCAUAUAGAAAUACCAAAUCUUGUGUCAUUGCAAGAACAAGAAUACAGCAAAAAUAAAAACUUGACAAUAAUAUUAUAGCAAGAUAGAUUGGGCUAAACCCAGACGAGUUAUGUGUAGGAAUAGGAUGAAGAACAUUGAUCGGUUGACCACAAGUCAAGAAAUAGUGAGGGUCAACACUGCAAAUAUAUCCUCAAACAAAAUACACGGUUCCAAAUAAUUUAACAGUUUAUACCAGUGGAAUUUUCAAUCACAAGCUUUACGUAAACUUGUUAUUUGUCUCACAACUAUUGUUCACAUUUACGUGUAAACUUGCACAUGUAUAUGAGUAGUGCUACAUGCACAAAAUUAGGUACAGAAUUUUGCACAAAAUGAUGUGACAACUGAGGUGGGAAGUUAUAAUUGGUACUAUUAAUGCAUAUACAGGGAGCCCAUUUCAAUCAAAAGUUGACACAUACUCAUUAUGUGAAUGUAUGUUUUUUACCCAAUUUUGUGCUUCUAGCAUUUUCCCAUGUAUAUUUCACGAGUAGUGCUAGGUGCACAUAAUUGUGUACAUAGAACUUGCACAUAAUGAUGUGGCAAUUGAGGUGGAGGGUUUUAAUUAGGGUGGUUGAUGUGAAUACAGGGGGCUCAUUCCAAUUAAAAACUCCCACAUGUCAUUAUGUACACAAUUCUGUAUACAAUUCCAUAUUUCACUCUCUGUUUCCCAGAUUUCAUCUUCUUCUCCUACUUCAGUUUCUAGUCUUAACCCCACCCGUAUGUUUUUUCGCUUAUAUCUAUGUCUUCAAGUAUUGCUAUAGUGUUAAAUUCCCCAUUUUCUCGAUGAUCAGAGCAUGUGGACAAAAAAUAUGCCCGACGGGUGAAAAAUCGGAUCAAUUAGGUUUCGGUUAUCAUCGUGUUGACGCUACAUCAAGUUGAUUGGAGUUGCGAGAUGAUCAUUCAUAUGGGUCCAUCUGAUGAGGCAAUAUCCGUACUAACAGGUGUGAUCUUUCCAAAACAUAAAAUUAUAUGACUAUGAUUAUGUGAUUAUUCUUACAGUAUAUUUUCUUGCGAUGCGGUUCAUAUUUCAUUUUUUCAUGAUUAGAUAUAAUUGUGUGCUUAGAUCUAUUAUGUUAUGGGUUGUUUCGUAUCCUAUUUCAUCAUUUUUUAACAUUUUUUUUCUUUCGGAUUUGAGGAGAUUGAUAUGUUGAAUCAAUGUUACAUCUUAUUUGUCCCGUAUCAUAUUUUGAUUUUAGUUUUUCGCUAGUGUGCAUGAUGAUUGUUUGCAGUUCUUGAACGGUGGCGGUGGAGGUGGUGUAUCGGUGACUUAAUUAGUGCGCGUAGAUUAUUCUGCUCGACUAAUUUUAUUGCAUGAUUUUGUUUCUAGUUCUGUAAUUUUGGAUAUUGUUUGUUUCUACAUGCUUUAAUUGAUAGAAUGUUUAUUGCUGAUUUUGUACCUGAAUUCUAUAAUUCAUGGGGGCCAUUUAUGAUGGCUUUAUUGUGCCUUAAUGAGGUAUUAUUGCGCCAUUAAGGGUUGAUUUGUUGAUUGGUGUAUACCAAAUUUAUAUGGUGUUGAUAAUGAUAAUUAGCUAUAAUCGUGAUACAUUUAUUUGUCAAGAUUUUGUCUUAUAUUUGAGUAGAUAUAUCUUAGCCAUAUUUUAAUUUUCAAUUAUAUUUUCCUAAUUUUAUUUAAAUAUUUAUUGAUAUUAAUAGUCAAUUAUUUUCCGCUGGGAUUUAAAUUUUAUUAUUUGUUAUUUUAUUAGGUAUCUAACUAAAGAGAUCUCACUGUCUCUUUGGUGUAGAUUUUUUAAUGUUUUGUUUCACAUUAGUUUUAUUUUACUUUUCUUAUGCUUUAAAGAAUUAUAUGAUAUUCAUAUUUUUUAUGAGUUUGUUGACUUUUUUUCUCUUUUGUUUUGGAUAGUUUUAUUAUUCUAUUUUCAGUAUGAACUUACUAUGUUUCUUUUAUUUGUAUUGUAUUUUUCAGGAUACGCGAGUGGAAAAAGAAUGAUAGCGGGAUCCUUUAUGGGUGUUUUCUUAUCGAACAUUAAAAUUUUAUUGUCUAAGUGUUCCCGGUAAAAAAACUCCUGGCAGCGGUUAUUAUAUUCUGAUACAAUUCAUUAUACGAGAAAGUAUCUUGUGACGAAAAAAAAAACAGUUUAAAACAGUGGGAUCAUGGUCCGCAAUCAUAAAAUUAUAACAUACGCCAGAUAAUUUUUGCAACUAUGCAGAUUGAUUGGUUGCAAGUAAUUAACUAAUAAUUUCUUCUCUUUAAAUUCCAAAUAUACAGGUACAUGAUAAAUAUACACAUCCAUAUCCUAAAACCGAAUUUUUCCAGAUCAGAUACGGAUAUUCAGGAUUAUAUUCGACUAGAAUUUUAAUUAAUUUAUAUUUCUUGUGAUUUACUCCCUCCGUCUCGACCAAUUUUUUACGUUUGGUUUGGGCACUGAGGUUAACAAAUAUGUAUAAAGUAGUGGAAAAGAGGAAGAAAGGUGAGUGAAGUGGUGGGACUCAUCAAUUUUUAAUGAAUAAAAGAGAGAUAGGGGAGUAAAAGUAGUGUGAAAAGGGAGAAAAAAUUUGGAAGUGGUGGGACCCAUUGACUAUUUUUUAUAAGUUUUGGAAUGUAAAGAAUUUGAUGGUACAUCCCAAAAAAGAAACCGUAAAGAAUCUUGUGGACGGAAGGAGUAUUAUAUAAGUUGCUUGACGUUUACACGCUUUUGUGGAUAAUUUGAUCAUGUAUCUAAAUUUUUUAAAAAAAAUCAUUUUUUGAAUAAAAAUAUAUAUGUUAUAUUUUUAUUCAAAAAAGUUUAUAAAAAUAUUAAUUUUUGCUAUACGGUCAAAACACCUAAAUUACGGGUAAAAAUUCAAACAACAUAUAUAAUGGACGAGAGAGAGUAUAAAUUUUAAUAGAUUGUAUUUAAUUUUGAUUUUAUACAGAUUCGAAUGUCGUAUGAUACUGUAAAGUCUUUAGAAUUUAAACACAAGAAAAAUGUUGUACUUAUGAUUUUUCAUGUAUAAUACCCUCAUGUUAUGUAAAAUUAGAUAGAAUUGAUUUCAGAUUGUAAAAUAAAAUGAUAUUUUAAAUCUUUGUAAGAAAAAUACAUAAAUAGACUUUUAAAUCAUAUAAACCGGAGUCAAACUAAGAGGGGUGUAUUCGAUUGGAAUUUUAAUGGAUUGUUUUUAGUCUAUGGAUUUUAAUGGAUUGUGUUUGAUUUUGAUUUUGUGCGGAUUCUUGAUAAAAUGUCGCAGAGUUUUAAGCACAAUGCUUCAAAAUCCCAUUGAUUAUUUUGAUGGGAUUUCAAAAAACUUAAAAUACACUGAAGAAUGCCACAAAAUCCAUCAUUUUAUGAAAUGCAAAAAAAUCCAUCAGCAUUUGAAUACCAUCAGAUUUUAAUGGAUUUUAAACAAUCCCAAUUGAAUACCAUCGGAUUUUAAAACAUAAUUUAAAAUCCCAAUUGAAUACCUCCAGAUUUUGUAGCAUAAUUUGAAAUCCCAAUUGAAUACCUCAAGAUUUUAAUGGAUUUCAAACAAUCCUAAUCGAAUACCCCCGGAUUUCAUGAAUGCAAAAAAAUGCUUUAAAAUCCCAAUCCAAUACACCCCUCUAAGUGUAACAUAAUUGAUCAAAGUUCAGUUAUGAAAUUCGAAUAUAUCUCACUCAGUUUAACUCAUUUUACAUGAUUUAAAAGUAUAUUUCAUAUAUAUUUUUUUAAUAAAAAUUUCAAGUAUAUAAUUUUUAAUAAGGUGGCGAACUCAAGAUCCCGAAAUAAUUUCAAAUCUUCCAUUAAAAAUCAGUAUCAAUCCUUGAGGACAAGGAUUGUUUCAAGGAGGGACUAUUAUAACAGAGAUCCAUAAUCAUAGUAUUGCUACUGUGCCAUUUAACUAGAAUAAAGUGUAUAGUUUUUUUUUACUUUGAGAUAUCCAAUAGUGUCAUAGUACAUUCUCUACGUGAAUUAUAAAAUAAAGGGUCUUAGUGAUCUAGGAUCAAUAAUUUGUAUCUCAGCUCCGAUAACAAUCCCUGUACUCAUUUCUGAUUCUUAUUAUAAUAAUAUAUUAACUAAACUAGAAAAGAAGAAAUAAGGAGACAAAAAAUGUGUAAAGUAUAAAGUAGUGAAAAUCAAGAGUGUAGAAAGGGAGGAAAAUGAAUUGUAGAUUCCAAAACAAAAAAAUAGAGGAUGACUAGUAGUUACCUAAAAUAAGGCAUGACUAAUAAAUUUGAGAAUGUCUUGGUGAUUUAGAGAAUCACUAGGACACUGUUGGAACCGCAUUUUAGAUCACAUUCCCUGUAUUUGAGCUUAGGAGCUUGUUUAGGGAAGCUUUUGGACUCGCUCUUAUCAGUAGUUGAGUCACAAAAUGAUAUCGUAUUAUCUGUAGCAACCUUAGAUCAUGAGCCCGUAACCGUUUGAACAAACAGCCAACUACUGAGACACUUGUUCAGAGAAGUGGAGGACAGACUUGAGUGGUGUAAUUUUACCUGUAUUUAGGGGUGAUCGCGGUGCGGGCGGUGCGGUUUUUUGCUAAAACCGCGAACCAAACCGCGCAUGCGGUUUGGCUAAAAACUCAAACCGCAACCGCACCACGCUAGCAUAAAAACCGCGUAAACCGCACCACAAAAAUGCGGUGUGGUGCAGUGCGGUUUGUGCGGUUUGUAUGCUUAAGAAUAAAUAUUUUUAGUUGAAGUUAGAAAUAAAAUUUAAAUAUACAAUAAUUAAAAACUUUGCAUGUAAUGAAUUUAUAUGAUAUUUAUCAUUACAGAGCUACAACAACUACUAAAAUAACACAAACAAAAAUGUAAAUAUGAUAAUAAAUACGAGUACUAACUACUAAGAGACAUAUUAUAAUAAUAUAAUCAUUUCAUACAAAUUUGUAUAAUAGUAAUGCGAGAUUGAUAAAAUAAUAAUUAACUAUUAUUUGAAGAGAUUUAACAAACAUAUAUAAUAUAAUUAUAAAUAAUAUAGAUGUAUAAUAUAAUUUUAUUUGACAAUCACUAAUAUACAUGUAUAUAUAAUGAUAUUGCGGUGCGGUGCGGUUUGAACCGCACUACUAAUAUGUCAAACCGCAAUCCGCACCGCACCGCGCGGUUUGUGAAAAAUUCAAACCGCAACCGCACCACGAAAAUUAAAAACCGCGUUUUGUGGUGCGGUUUGAUACGAUGCGGGCGGUUUAUGCGGUGUGGGCGGUUUUUUGAUCACCCCUACCUGUAUUUCUCCUUUACUGUCUUGUAUUUCCUUUCCAGUUUAAUUCCAGUUAUAUACAUUACCAGCAUUAUUCCUUCAGUUUAUUUCAAUUCUGUCCAGUUAAGUUUGCUUAUCAUCUUAAUUAUGACAAAAAAAAAAGAAAAAGAAGUUUGCUUAUCAUCUUUAUAUCAAGUCACUGGUUACAUCAAAACUACCUUUAAAAUAAGAAAUAAUUUACUUGGAAGUUUCAUAUGCAUUUUGUCUGAACUUGUUGCAUAUUAUAAAUAUCCUAUGAAUUAUAUAGUUAGUUAUAUUAUAAUAGUUGUUCGUUUUUUAGUAUUAAAUAAUUAUUGCAGAAAAAUAGAUGUUUCAACUAAGUCUGCAACCUGUCAUGGGUUUAGCAAAUGUAUUAUUAAGUUAAGUAGCCAUCGUGCACACCCUACUUGUGUUGCUGGGUCCGAAUUCCUGUGUUUUGUAUAGACUUGAUGAGUGAGUCAACCACAGGUGAUAUUGUAAAUAUAUAGUUGGGACCUAUUAUUAGCUCAUGUACCUUCUUCAUUUUUUCAUAGAAUUGUGAAGUGAGUUUAGAGCUGUGUUGUAAUUACAAAACAGUAAUUAUGUGCAGCUAGUGUCUUACUGUUCUUCUUCUGUCUGCACAUGUGCCACAAUGACACAAAACUGGGAAUUUCUGUUUGGAUAUACAAACAUUGCUGUAAAUGGUGGGAUCAUUCUGGUCAUUAUUUUAAAUGUCGUGGUUCAUAAAUUUCGACAGCUCCAAGAAGCAGAACUCACAAAACAAAAAUCCAGCUCUUGUCAUUGUCUGCAAGAGAAUUGUGUUAUCGUAUCUCACUUGAUCAGAUGCAGCGGCCAACAUCUAAUUUCCCUGACCAAAAAAUGUUGGCUGGUUAUCAUCUUCAUAUCAAGUCACUGGUUACAUCAAACUACCUUUAAUAUAUGAAAUAAUUCGUUUGGAAGUUUCAUAUGCAUUUUCAUUGAACUUGUUGCAUGUUAUAAAUAAUCUAUGAUUGAUAUAGUUAGUUAUAUUACGGGUUAAAUGGCUAAUUCAUAAUUAAGCUACUUAAAAAACUUGCAGUUUGAUCAUGUUGUUAAAAAAGCUCACAGUCAACUAAUGAAGUGUUUAAAAACUUGCAUAUCAAUAAUUCUCGUUAACUCUGUUAAAAACAUUAACAGAAAACCCAAAUUUCGAUUAUGAGCAGCCCAAACAAUAGCUAUCACCGCCACUAUUAUGCACACACAACUAUCCCUCAUCUCCUCCACCUCUUUAUCUCCUUCCAACCCCAUCCCGUCAUCAUCUGUAACGGCGGAAUCCGUCGCACCAUCCCGACUGAUUCGAACUCCACGACCAUCCCUUUCGUUGUCAAACUUAACCCCCCACGCAACAACAUAUACACAAAAUCAAACCUCUCUCGACUCACGGCGGUUAUGCCGCCAACUGUAGUUCAAGCCGCAACAGCCACACCGCUGCUCAACUUCCUUUCUGCCGCGAAACUCAACUUUGUAUCCCAGUCGGAAUUUUCAACAUCGCUGACCUCCUUAACGCAACUCCUUCACAUCUCAAUCAAACUCAAGCAAGCAUAUGUUUUAUUUUGAUUAUAGAUGUAAUUAGGAUUGUAUCGGGUCGGGUUAACGGGUAUUUUAAUGGAAAACGUUAAAAGUCAAUGACCUUUAACGUUCGUGUAAGUUUCUGUAAGCAAGAUCGUUCAAUUGAAAAUUAUAUGAAGCAAAGUUAUGUGUUUGAAAGUUUUUUCAACAACAUGACCAAACUGCAAGUUUUUAACCAGCUUAGUUAUGUAUUAGCUAUUUAACCCGUUAUAUUACAAUAGUUGUUUGUUUUUUGAAUAAUUAUUGCAGAAAGAUAGAUGUUUCAACUAAGUCUGCAACCUGUCAUUGGUUUGAUAUCGUCACAUUUGACUAGUAUCAUAUUUUAGAGGUUUAGCAAGUGCAUUAAUAAGUUAAGAAGCUAUCAGGCACACCCUGAUUGUGUUGCUGAGUCCGAAUUCUUUUGUUUUGUAUAGACUUGAUAAGUGAGUCAACCACAGGUGAUUUUGUAAAGAGUUGAGACCUGUUAUUAGCUUCAAUGAAAUGGCUCAUGUACCUUCUUCAUUUUUUUAAUGUACCUUCUUCAUUUUUUAUAGAAUUGUGAAGUGAGUUUAGAAUUGUGAAUUGUGAUGUUUCGUUUUUUGUUCGGAUAUACAAACAUUUUUGUAAAUGGAGCCACCAUUCUGGUCAUUAUUUUAAAGAAUUACUGUAAUAGGUUAAAAAGUCACUCAACAAUUAUUAGGCUAAAAAGUCACCCAGCUCAUUGUCAACUUGCAGUUGGGUUACUGAAUUCAAAAAGUUUGUUGUCAAUUAAUUGAACUAAUAAAAACUUGUUUUUAGGUAACUACCGCUAGUGUCCUAAACGAAAUGGACGGAACGGACAGAAAUGUCCAUUUUUUGAAAAAUAUCUUUAUAUUUUAAAAUUUUAUGGGGAAACUUCUAUAAUUUCAUAAAAUUUAUAAUGGUGAAGAAAUGACAAUUUUUUGAAAAAUCUCUUUUUAAAUUCUAUGGGGGCGCACUUUUAUAAAUUUGUCAAAGACAGUGAUCAAUUUUUUUCAAAAUAUUAGGUUUGAACUGAACAUACCACUUUUAUUAAAAGGAUAUCUAGUUGGAAAUGAUUCCGUUUGGCUUAAUUACCUUAUUUUUCUGAAAGAAAUCCAGGUCUUUUAGAAAAAAUUAUGUAAAUAUGUAUUUUUAUUAAGUAUAAUACAUUUUUGCAAAAUAAUGAACAUGAAACAGGUCAAUAGCCUAAUAUAUAAACAAAUUGACCCCUAACUUGCAAUUGGAACUAAACUAAUAAAAAUUUGCAUUUAAAUAACUGAAAAGAACAUGUGCUAGCGUUUUUUAUUGAAGUCAAACAGGAGUUAACGGUUGUGCAAACUUUUUAAUGUUCAAUAACUAAAUAGCAAGUUUAGUUUAAUUUUAUGAUCCGUUUUCAAGUUUUUUGAGUUCAAUAUCUCAAGUACAAGUUGGUCAUGAGUUUUGAGUGACUUGUAGCCUAUUAACUCUUAUUUUAAAUGUUGUGGUUCAUAACUGGUUACAGAGCAGGUAAAUAACUGGUUACAGAUCAUUAACAUGGAUCUCAACUUAAUGAGAUCAGUGUUUGUGCCCUUUGAUUCGGCCUGGCAGAAGGGCAAAAAGGCGCCCAUCCUCGACUAUACUUCUAGGACCCCAAAAUUUAACCAACCUAUGUAACAAGUAUAACAUGCAUUGAGUUUUCUUCUAAAUAUGAAAGAUCUGAUAUAUUUUGUGCAGAGUAGAGUUGGUGAGACUCAACCUUUGUGCGCUCUUUCUCCCUAGAUUGGAUUCGCCGAAGAUUUCUUAUGUCACUUGUCACCAUUUAUAUAUUUAUCUUUCUCUACUUGAUUCAUAAAAAUUAAUUUCACACCUCUGAUGAGAAUUAACUAGAGGUACAGGAGAACAAGUUUGAAGUGGUAUUCUUUUCUUAUCUUUGAUGUUUAGUCUGAAAUAUUGAUUCCCUGAAUCAACAGAGCACUAGUUAAAUAAGACGUAAUGACUUAUUCAGCAACCAGCGACCUAUCUGCCUAGUGGUUGCGAAAAUAAUACUAUCUAGCUGUAGUAGAAUUUUAUGUUUGCGUCUGCAUGAUCUCACCAGCAUUAAGUUAGGUGUUAAAUUAUUUAGGAAUUGUGUAUUUUGUUUGAGGAUAUAUUUGGUGGUUCUUGAGUUGUGGUCAACCAAUUAAUGUUCUUCAUCCUAUUCCUAUACAUAACUCCUCUGUGUUUAGCCCAAUAUAUCUUGCUAUAAUAUUGUUGUUUUUAUUCUGGCUGUAUUCUUUCUUCUUGCAAUGACACAAGAUUUGGCAUUUCUAUAUGGAUAUACAAACAUCACUGUAAAUUUAGCAAUUAUUCUUAUUACCAUCUUGAAUAUCGUGGUUUAUAUGCUCCAAAAACUUCAAGAAGCAGAAGUUGUGGAGCAAAAUAAUUGGCUUCAAUCAUUGUCUACUCGACAAUCAUGUUACCGUUUCUCCUUCAAUGAGAUGAAGCGGGCAACAUCUAACUUCCACGACGAAUUAGUGAUCGGAAAAGGCGGGUUUGGAAAUGUUUACAAAGGGAGUCUUGCACCUGGAGCAACUGUAGUUGCCAUAAAACGGUUGAAAUCCAUGUCAAAUCAAGGAUCCACAGAAUUCCGUGCAGAGAUUGAGAUGCUCUCAAAAGUUCGGCACAGCCAUCUAGUGUCUUUGAUUGGUUACUGUGAUGAAGGUUAUGAGAUGAUUCUUGUUUAUGAAUUUAUGCCAGGUGGCACGUUGGCCGAUCAUAUUCAUAAGAGGCUUCGACAAGAUGACACUUCUUCUCCACCUCUUUCAUGGGUUCAACGUCUCAAGAUAUGCAUCGGAGCAGCUCAAGGACUGGACUACCUUCACACUGGAACAGGCAUCUACCAGAGAAUCAUACACCGGGAUGUAAAGAGCACUAACAUUCUACUUGACGAUAAUUUUGCAGCUAAGGUUUCUGAUUUCGGAUUAUCUAGAACAAGUCCAGCAAAUCAGGCAGAUACAUUCGUAAGCACUCAGGUGAAAGGAAGCUUCGGAUAUUUUGAUCCUGAUUAUUUCCGAACUCAAAGGCUCACAAGGAAAUCCGACGUGUAUGCCUUCGGUGUUGUGUUAUUUGAGGUCUUGUGUGGAAGGCCAGCAGUGGACAAGAGUCUGGAUGAGCAGCAAAUUGCUUUAGCUGGAUGGGCACAACAUUGCUUCAGAGAGAAACGCUUGGGGGAGAUUAUUGAUCCGGGAAUAAAAGCGAACGUGUAUCCUGAUUCUCUAGAUAUGUUUGUGAAAGUUGCAGUCCAGUGUUUACAUACCGAACCUAAACAGCGUCCCACUAUGGCUCAGGUUGUGGUUGGUCUUGAGUCUGCCUUGGCCUUGCAAGAAAAGAGCACAGAAUAUUGUUCUCCAGAGACAAUUAGUGAUGAUAAACAUGAGGUGGAUAAUGAAAAUUCUGAAAAUGAGAUGCGGGGUAUAUCUAGGGGUAUAUCCAGCAGUAGGCAUCAACAAAAGUGGUCUUCUACUUUUAAAAGAUUUUUUGCUCUACUCACACCUGCAGCUCUGGCCAGAUUAGGUAAUCUUAAAAUUAAGAUUUUCUUUUAAGGAAUCUUCCAUUAAUAUUAUAAUUCCUACUAAUCUUAUAAUUAGAAAAUUACUAAUACAUGGAUAUAUUAAUCUAGUUAUCUAUGUAAUUUAAAAAACCAAUAAAAUGUAUGAAGGUCUCACUGCUCGUAAAACAAUCAAAAUCUAUUAUAAUAAAAUUAGUCAUAAAAAUCUUUUUCUUAACUUAUCUAGAAAACUUAUUCUCAUUAAAAGAUAGUGAUUUAAAUAAGUAUAAUUGUAACACCAAACUUCAAAUAUGGAAUAUAACAAGAUAUAAGCUAAUCUAUAUUAUAAUUUAUACAUACACACACAUAGACAUACAUACAUACAUACAUACAUAUAUGAAUUAAUAUUUUGUGUUUUGAUUUAUUCCUUAUUUUUUGUUGUCAAUUUUAAUCAUUAAUCUUUUAACUUAAGUGCUAUAUUGUAACUAUAUAUAGGCAUUUUUUUGGGUUAAGUCUCAUCUUUACUUUUGCAAUAUUAAAUUUUUUUUAGCUCAAAAUGAUGAGAAUUAUAGAAUGUAAUACUAAAAAAUAUUAUCCGAAAUUGAACACCGGAGAAUGAAGUAAAAUUUAUAAUAUAAAUUUGGGGUAAUCAGAUAAGAUGUCUAAAAUUUUUAUUCCUUCAAUCCAAUCAAUCCAUUCCAAAUUAUUUGAACAAGAAAUCUAAAUCAUAUAUUUUUGAAGAAAUGCUGAUUCAACUUCUUCAUCAUGUUCUUCUACAAUCUUCUUUAUAAACAAUUUAGAUAGACACUAUUAUCUCAAAAUUUCUUACUUAUCCAAAAAACUUUUUCAUAAUUUUUCAUUUCAUUCUCACUCAUUCCAUUACAUCCAAAUGAACCCAACCUUAAUGUCUAAUGUUGUGUUUGGUUGGGGUGAAUAAAAAUGGAGGGAAUGGAAUGAGAUAUGAACUAUAAUUUAGUUGAAUUUAUAAUAAUUUCAUUCCUUCCACCAUUCCAUUCUUAUCACCCUUGACUAGAGCUAAUGCUCCAUUCCUAAUCAUACAUAUUUUCUUAUCAAAUCUUAUCAUACAAAAUUUGCAUUCACUCAUAUUUUUUUCAAAGUCCUCCCUCUUACACUCUAUUAUUUUCUUUCAUUUAUACUCAUUCCAUUCCAUUCACCCCAACCAAACACAACAUAAGAGUUUAGAAGAAUGAUUUUGUUCUCCUUUUUCUCUUCAUAAUAUUUCAACAAAAUUUUUAUAUGAUUUUCUCGUUGUUGGCAGUCCAAAGGUAUUCAAAGUCAGUAAAGUCAUCAAAUAUGAAGAUGUACACAUAUAAUGAUCUCUGUAUAGCUACCAGGAAGUUCCAUGCCGAUGCUGAGUUGUGGAAAGACGGUAAUUGUACCAUUUAUAAGGGUUACUUUGAUGAGAAAACAUACGCUGUUGCAAAAUGGGGUACUGGUCUGGUUACUGCAAUAAAGAUGUUCAAAGAUAGCGAAGCUGACAUUCAGGGGUAUUUGGUUAGUCUCACUUUUCAGCUUUUCCAGUACUUUUUCCUGUGACCUUUUAAGUUUUAGUUUUAGAUUUUUUUGUUGUUUAUAAGUUCUAUUUAAGCUGACUAACAAACUCUGUCACCUCUUAUGCUACAGACAGAAUUCCUUACCUUACAAAAACUUUGUCAUCCUAAUAUUGUUAAAGUGAUUGGACUUUGCCUUGAUAACAAGGAACCGUUUCUGGUACAUGAGUACCCACCUCAUGGACGCUUGCACUGGCAUCUGUGUGAGUUUCUCAAUAUUAUUAGCUCUGAUCCAGUCAAUUAUAUGCAUCCAGAAAUCAUCUAAGUAUGAUGUGAUGUUAAGUCGAAUGAGUUAUUGUCAUAAAUUUGCCUUAAAAAGUGGUUUUUGAAUCACGGCCUGAUAGAUAACUGCUAUAGAUAUAGAAUAAGAUAUAUCAGGCGAACUGGUCUUGGCCUAAGAAGGUACAAAAUUGUUCACAUCUUAAAAAGGGACAAAGUUUCGUAAUCUAUGCCUUUGAAAUAAACUGAUUUUUGACGCAGUUACUUAAUUCAGUUGAAACAGGGGAUUCUGACUCUGAAUCGCUCUCUUGGAAACUUCGUAUAAGUAUUGCUCAUGGAGCUGCUAAGGGGCUUGCAUAUCUUCACAGUCCAGAAGUAAAUGUUAUACAUUGCGAUGUCAGAACAUCCAACAUAUUGAUUGAUUCAGUAUGUAGAAGCACUGAUGGUUAAAAUUUACUUCCCGACAUUUUUCCCACUAAAAAUAUAGUUUUGCCUGACAAAAUAUCUGUUACCGACAGAAAUACAAUUCAAAGCUCUCUGGUUUCUGUUGCUCUACGAACGGACCAGAAGAUGAAAGAUCCCAUGUUACUACAUUUGUUCGGGGAACAGAUGGUUAUCUAGAUCCCGCAUAUGUUAAUACAGGUUAAUAUUUCACAUAAUCUUGUGUCUAAAGGUUUUAACAUAUUGUAUAUAUGUUAUUAUAUUUUUCCUGGAAGUUGAUUGCAGUUUAUGUGUGGCAAGUAGAUUGCAAAUAUCUCUCUAAUCAAGCAAGGAACGUACUCCUUGCUUCUGUAUUAUCUAUGUGCUUACUUGGUCCCGUAUAUUUUCUAUUCCUAUGAAGGUCAUUUAACAAUGAAAAGCGAUGUCUUCAGCUUUGGAGUUGUCCUCCUGGAACUUUUGACAGGACGAAGACCAGUUUUCGAGUUUGAAACAGAGAAUACGAGCCUUGCUUAUUGGGCUCAGUCUCGGCUCAGCAAAGAGCAUGGGAUUUUGGAUAUAAUGGAUGCACAUUUGGAAGGCCAAUACACUGUAGGAGCAGCAUCAACAGCCUCUUCCCUCGCACUUAGAUGCACCUCAGUAGAUACCAAAUCAAGACCUGAUGCAAAGCAAGUAGCAGAAGAAUUAGAGCAGCUUCUUUCUUUAAUAAACCUAGAGGUCAACGAGAACGACUUAAGCAAGCCAACUGCACGGUGACAAUAAAUAAUGAUUUAAUGUAAUCGAUAUAUUUGAAUUUUGUCAUUUUUAUAGAAUACGUAUUGUACCAAUAAACCACUGCUCUUCCUCCAUGUAAUAUAUUUCUCUGUCAAAGUGUGCAAUUUAAAUUUUCUACGUAAUGUUAUAUUGUGCGUGAUUUAUGAGUGUGUUAUGGUACAGGAUGGUGCUAUAAUGCUUAGUGAAUUGCAGAGAAAUUUUAGAUAUAGCUCCAAUGUUUACAUAUUGGACCCAAAGACCGUCCCACAAUGGGUGAGGUUGUGGUUUGUCUCGAGUCUACAUUGGUAGUGCAAGAACAGAACACAGCUUCUACUUUACUGGAAGGCUCAACUGUCAAUCAUAGCCAUGAGAUUAUGGAUUAUUCAUCAGAUGAAAUGCAUAAUGCUGUAUAAGGUUAAUCCACUGUGCGAAAAAAGUAACGGUUCGAAUCAAAAGUGGUUUUCAUAGGUUUUGAUUUCAAACUUCGGAUACAGUGCAGAUAAAUCGACUUUGUGUAUCAAAUUCGAUUCAAAUAAAAAUCAAAUGGCCUUAGCGGUUUUCCAGCGGACGAGCGUGCUAGAUUUCUUCUUGAAUGAUGUUAUCCGGGUAAGUUUGCGUUUAAAUCAUUUCCUUGAGGUGAUUGUCAUCGUUCUGAUAUCUUGAUAAAUUUGGAAUCAAAGUGCUUGGAUGCAACAGAUUGUGAAUCAUAUUCACUGUGAUUUGUUCGUCCACGCUUGAAUGUGUUGUUUCCUUGUUUCUUUUUAGUUUUGUUUGUUCAGAAUCAACCUAGAAAGCAAGGAUACUUCAUCUGGGUGAAGAACUGUGUAGGAGAUACUUGGGGUGCGGGGGUGCGGCGGGAUACGCCACGUGGCGUAUCGGUGGAGGCAGCGAUGGGGAUACGCGGGGUGCGGGGAUGGGGGUGCGGCAGUGGCACAAAUCGUAAUUUUUAACAACUUUUUUUUUAAAACUUAAAAUUAGUUGGUCAAAAGAAAGAAAAGAGGGAUCAAAACCUAAUUAUACUAAUUGAGUACCUGUACCAGAGAGAGCAGAGCAUCUCCAGCUCAAGUAUGUCGAUUGGUAAGUGUGUUUUCUGUAAUAUCUGCUCAUGUGUGUCUAUAGAUUGUAUGUAUAUAUAAUUGCUCGUGUGUGUAANAUAUAGUACUACUCCAAUACAAACCCUCUUAUUCUACAAACUAAAAACCCAGCUGUAAUUUCACUAAAUUUUAAACACAAUAUCACUAAAUCUUUUAACAACCCCACCUCCACUUCCAUCUUCUCCGGCUAAGCCUCCACUUCUGGCAACACCAUUUCCGCCGCUCCCUCCACAUUUGUCGCCCACUGUCAUCCCGUUCACGUCCACCAUCCCUCCAUUCCUCCUCCACCAUCUCUACCACCAACGUCCACCCACCUCCACCUCUUCCACCACCUUCAUCUCGACCUUUGCCAUCAUCACCUCCACCUCAACACUUCUACCACCAACACCUUCACCUCCGCGCUCUAUCUCAGGCACUACCUCCGCCGUAACUCCAUCUCGACCUCCACCAUCUCAACCCUCACCCCCGCAUCCUCCAUGCCCUCGCCCCCUCCAUCUCCACCACCGCCAUCACCACCAGAAUCAACAAACAAAAACAGAUCUGGAGGUUUGCAUCAAGUUCUGGAGAUUUUUAUGAAUAUCACUAAUUUCUACAGCGGAUAUCACUAAUUUCUAAAGCGAAUUUCACUAAAAUGUAUAGCUGAUAUCACUAAAUGGUAUAUCAGAAUAUCAUCGAUUUUUGUAAACAUAUCAGGAGCAGGUGGUAGAGGUGGUGCUGAUGAUGGUGAAAUCGGAAACAAUAACAUGGGUGGCAGUGUUGGUAGGAGCGUGUGUGCAUAGAUGUGGCAGUAGAGGUGGAAGAAGAAGAGGGAGAUGAAGUGGGGUUGAUGAAAGAGAGAAGGUGGAAGGAGGAGAAAGAAAGGGGCAGAUCUGGAUGGGGGGUUACUGCUGGGUUAUAAUUAAGUGUAGGUGAGUGCCUUUAGUAAUUUAAGGAGUUUCAAUAGUGGUUUCUAGUUUUUAUUUUAAGAUUGGUUUUAUAUAUAUAUAUAUAUAUAUAUAUAUAUGGGGGCUUCUCAGUGAGUAACCAACAUAAAUGGUAACCUAGGAACCCACUACACAGAAUUGCCCAUUACACGGAGAGACAGGAGAUAUUAAGCAGUUAUACCCAUGCAGUUAGUGGUUUUGUUUAUCAUUUAUUUUCCAAUUUUCACCUUUUAUUUAUUCAAAAAUAUUUGUAUUAAAUUUUAAUUUUUUAUGUAACAUAAAUCUUUUUAUGAAAAACUUAUUAAUAUUUUUUAUGUGCAUUUUUUGUUUGGUAUUUUCUGUUAAUUAACUUCACUCUUUAUUAUAUAUAUUUUAAUGUAAAGUUUUGAUUUAUAUUUUAGUGUGUAGUAAUUCAAAAUUUAUGUGUUCUGUAUUUUUAGAUUAUACUUGUUUUGUAUUAUUAGUGUUCUGUAUUCUUAUUUUGUAUUAUAUAAAAUUCUGAAUAAUGUUUCUUUUAGAUUUCUAGUAGUUUUAAAAAAAUAUGUCUUGUAUAUAUUAUUGUAUAUCCCAAUUGUCUAGUUGUUCUUGUUUGUAUUUUUUAUAUGUUCUGUAGUUUAAAAAAUUGUGUUCUAUGUUUAAUAUUUAUAUCAAAUUUAUAUUAAUGAUUAUUUAUGUUUUUACAUAUACAUAAUAUACAUUAUUUAAACUAAUUUAUACCAUGUUCUUCAAAAUUAUAUUAUAUAAACACAACAUAUGGUGAAAAAUAUAAAUUACAAAUAUUAUAUAAUCCAAAAUAAAAUCAAAAUAAAGAAUAUUAAAAAAGAGAGAUGAUGUUUUAUAUUUUAGCAUGUAUUUUUUUAAUCUUUAAUGUGUUGUGUGCUGUAUUAUUUUAUAAACAUGCUAUUGUUCUGUAUUUGUUUUUAUGUGUUCUGUAGUCGUAUUUUUUGUGUUUGAUAUAUAUAUUAUUGUCCUGUACUUUUUUGUUGUGUCAUACGGGUUUCAUCAUAUUAAGUUCUGUGUUAUAUGUAACAAUAGAAAAUAAAAUUUUUAAUUUUGUACGUGCCCACGUGUUUAAAAAUUUAAACAAAGCAGUUAAUGUUCACGUGUCUAGGUUUUUUGAGCAGAACAGUUACAGAGUUGUUUGAUUAUUGUAGGGCUGUGAUUAAAAGUUACUAGUUACCACGAUAAGAAAGUUCCCACCUGAACCAUCCCCUAUAUAUAUAUAUAUAUAUAUAUAACAACAUAUUAUUAUUAAUUAACAUUCUUAAAUAAUUAAAUAGGUUUAAAUUUAUGCUNNNNNNNNNNNNNNNNNNNNNNNNNNNNNNNNNNNNNNNNNNNNNNNNNNNNNNNNNNNNNNNNNNNNNNNNNNNNNNNNNNNNNNNNNNNNNNNNNNNNNNNNNNNNNNNNNNNNNNNNNNNNNNNNNNNNNNNNNNNNNNNNNNNNNNNNNNNNNNNNNNNNNNNNNNNNNNNNNNNNNNNNNNNNNNNNNNNNNNNNNNNNNNNNNNNNNNNNNNNNNNNNNNNNNNNNNNNNNNNNNNNNNNNNNNNNNNNNNNNNNNNNNNNNUUACAUUUAAAAAUUGGUUUACGUACUUCUCCAUCACUAUUUUAAUCGAUGUUCAACAAAAUAUGUUAAAAAAAUGUUGAACUCAAGUUAUAUAUGUGUUGAACAAAAAAAGUUUGUAAGUUUGUACCAGAACCCUCCCCUAUAUAUAUAUAUAUAUAUAUAUAUAGAGUCAUGCUCCAGGGAGAACCAAUAUUAUUGUGAGAUAUGAGAUCUAAUUUUAACCACUCAUUUUAUAUCUUAAUUCAAUUUCCUACCAUACAUUAAUUUUUAAUUUUUAAAUAUUUCAUCACCAUCUUCACUCCAGUUCCACCACUGCCACCUCCAACCACCACCGACCACCAUCUUCGGCCACCACCACCUCCGGUCACCGCCGGAAAAUCACCACCGGCAAAGAUAAAAUCACCACCGGCAAAUCCAAAAUCACCAACGGAAAAUGAGAAAUCGCUCUUGGAAAAAAUAAAAUCACCACCAGAAUACGAAAAUCACCACACCCGGCCAUUAUUUAUCCCCACCAGCUCCGUUCAUCAAUUUCGGUCACCAAAAUCAUAAAAAUAAUCACCAGAUUUUAUUGUAAAUCAUAAUAAGAAUCACUAAUUACCACCACAUCACCACCAUCAUCAUCUACAAAUCCCCUAAAUCUGAAAAAUCACCUAUUACAAAAUAAAAUCACUAGAAAUGAACUCCGGUCACCAACAUAAUAACAAUAAUCACCAAAAACACCAUCAUUAAUCACCACAACCACCAUCUACAGACCACCACCACCAUCUACAACUCCCUCAAUCUGAAAAAUCACUGAUAACAAAAUAAAAUCACCAUGAACAAAAAUGAAUAACCUGCUACACGAUAAUGCUUGAGGUGUCGGGAAUUAAUGAAGGAUGAUUGUAAUCACUGGAUGGAGGUCGGAGAGCCGUCAGAAAGCUCCGUCGAUGGACUCUCAUCGGUGAGAACGAGGAAGAGCGGGGGCAAGUCAAGAGUGACGAGGAGAUAUGGAGGAGACGAAAGGAGGAUGAGUUUUGUAUAUC
RNAcentral lists this long non-coding RNA (56445 nucleotides) under Daucus carota (carrot). RNAcentral describes it as "long non-coding RNA (DCAR_LNC006456)". The record is from RNAcentral. Lineage: Eukaryota; Viridiplantae; Streptophyta; Magnoliopsida; Apiales; Apiaceae.